RNAcentral lists this long non-coding RNA (72673 nucleotides) under Eucalyptus grandis. Its description in RNAcentral is "long non-coding RNA (EGRA_LNC002092)". Lineage: Eukaryota; Viridiplantae; Streptophyta; Magnoliopsida; Myrtales; Myrtaceae. The record is from RNAcentral.
GGUGUUCUCGAUUAAUGAAGUUAGAUCCUUCCAUCUGUCAUUUAAAAUGCUUAACUACCUUAAAUUUGAGGUUCUGCGAUGAACUCAAUAUGUUGCCAUUUGAACUGGGUAACAUGAAAACUCUUAAGGAGGUUCUUAUUGAUGGGACUUUGGUACAAAAAAUUCCUGUGUCAAUGGGUUACAUGAAGAAACUUGAGAUUUUUAGUGCAUCCAACUGUUUCCAAUUAAGACACCUGCCUGACUCAGUCUGCGGCUUAACAGCUCUUUCGGUACUCUCACUGGAAAAUGCAAAAAUUACUCGAAUCCCCUGCCUCUGUUGAAAACCUGGUGAAACUCCAGAUCCUGUCUCUAAAGGAUUGUCGGUGGAUAGGAAAUCUUCCGCAUUCAAUUUGCAAUUUGAGAAACUCAUUAAAGGAGUUGGAUAUAACGGGGACAGGCAUAUCUGAAUUAUCCAAUUCAAUUACUUGCUUGAGGCGUUUAAAAGUGUUAAAAAUGGAUUCUUGCUUCAUUAGAGAAUUGCCUGGAGAAAUUGGAGAUUUGGUCGACCUUGAAGAGUUACAUGCUUCUCAUUGUAGGAGUUUGAAGGGAGCCAUUCCAUCUGCUAUUGGGUGUCUAUCUCGUCUGAGGAUACUGAGAUUGGGGCAUUCCAGUAUUUCUGACUUUUCUUCGAAAAUUGGAAGUCUUUCUUGUCUUCAGACUCUCGAUUUACUUCAGUGCAACGAGAUUCGAGAACUGCCAGAGCUUAUUUCCAGUUUAACUUGUCUACAUGCGAGUUCUGAAAGGAUGGAGGCCUUGCCAGAUCUUAGGUAUUUAGUGAAGUUGGAGGAGAUAUGUCUGGGUGAUAAAGAUCCUAAGGAGCUCAGACGUUCCUCAACACGGAUGGAGCCAACAUUUAGAUCGAGAGAUCUCUUAGCAGUGCCCAUAGUACUUCCAAAACUGAAGAUAUUAGAGUUGUCCCAUUCUCGAAUCGGUGAACUGCAACUUCGGCAUGGUUCCCUCUCAUGUAAACAUCUUAAGAAGCUGGUUCUAUCUGGUGCGAAUCUUAAAAAGGUGCCAGAACUUCCCUCGUCAUUGUCCGUUUUAUCCAUUCGACAUUGUUUGUCUUUAAGACAAUUGCCAGCAGUGCACCAUUUGAGCAAACUAUCAGAACUAAAUCUCAUCCAAUCCGCGGUAGAAGAGAUUAAGGGGCUUCAGGGACUAAUUGCUCUGGAAAUCUUGAAUAUAACACAUUGCGAAAUACGUAAUCUCAAUGGGCUUAGCCAAUUAAUGGAGUUACGAAGUUUUAUUUUGUCAGACUGUGAUUUGCUCCAUGGAUUGCCCGAUAUAUCAAACUUGAAGAUGCUGAAUGUCCUAGUAGUCCAAAGAUGCAGGAUGAUCCAUGCUAUUGAAGGCCUUAUGGAGUUAACCUCCUUGGAGGAGCUGCGUGUUAGUGAAUGCGAGGCAGAAAGCACACAGCAAGUACAGGAUGCAUUAAAGCUUGUGAUGGAAGGUUCAAUAAACAGUUGAUGUCCUGUGCUCCUGGAGUGGACAUUCGGUUAUUUACAUGGCUCUUCGGACACAAUCGAAACCAUAGGGUGACAUCAUUGGAGUCCCUUGUGACAUUGAGUAGGCAAACUGACGGCAAAAUUACUGGAGCUGCAAUCUGAAAGUUUUUUGAGUCCUUUGUCUAUCAGAAGUGGAAGCUAGUGCCAUAAACAAUUGCCCUUGCACAACCUCACUGGUCAUUGGAGGGCGGCUUUCGUGUCGUGAAUGCUGAAUUUUCGUUGAGAGCUGUGUAGGGGGAGAGUCGGUUCGUUUGCUGUUGCCACUAUCUUCAUUGAAUUGGAUAACCAGUUUUUUGGGCCUUUCCUUAUGAUAUGUUGAUUUUCUUUUGUGUUGUUUCACAGCAUGUUGUCCGUUAAUUGCUUUGCCAAGGCGGCUAGCCAUCUGGCUUUAGCUUCAAUAUAUGUGGCUUUUGUGAUUAUAUUCAUCUCAGAAGUUCAGAAGUACUUUUAGUUUGCAAUGUUUAUACUUGUUUAUUAACCUAGUCUGAAUAGUUUGGCUAAUGUCCUCUGUUUUGAUGAUGUGUAAUUUGGAAAGCAAUGUCGUUUAUCUAAGAAUUUGAUGUAGUUUUUUCAGUCUAUGGACAUGCUCGAAGUUCUCUAUCUUGCUUUCUCUUGCCCUUUGUUUUUUCAGUAAUACCCCAUGACUUGAUGUUGGCAGUUCUGUUGGUUUCCAGAUUGGACUGCUUCUUGUUUUAGGUAGAGUAAUUGGACGGACAAUUUUUACAGUUGUUGACAUUGUUUGCCUGUCGCUCGCAAAAUUGACAGAACAAUUUGACCUGGGGUGUCAAAUGUCUCAUGAUCCUUUUCUCUUUUUCUUUGGUGGAAAACACCUAUAUGGUAGAAGUCAAGUUUGUCUUUGCCAUUCUAGUGAUUCAAGUAGCAUGUACUCUCCGAGGGAUUUUUCUUUAUGUAACAUGCGAAGAGAUAUUACUCUUAUUGAAAAAUAAAAGAACAUUUGUUCUAUAUUUUUAUCUUCAAUUUGAAAUUUCCAAACUGGGAAGGGUUUGAUAUCUGAAGAGCGUCCAUCGUGGUAUUGACCGAGUCUUCUCACUUAUGGCAGGUGAAUGAUCCUCCAGUCAGAAACUCACAAGAAGCUUUCAUGAUGGAGAUGCGCGCAGCAAGAAUGGUAAGAUUUGGACUUUAAUCUGAAGUGAGGUUUGGCUAUUUAAUUAUUGUAACCUACAAAGGAUAGUUAAUUCUGCUCAUUAACCCAAAAAGCAGUGCAUGUUUGGCAUAUAUGUUUACCAUAGGUCAGUUUGGUAAUCCCCUGCUAAAUCCAUGAGAGACUCAAAAUUGCAGGGCUAUGCGACUUCUAGAAAAUGGAUGUAGAAUUUCUUUUUCAUGAUAAUGGGAAUUUCAUAAUCUCAGAAAUUGCGUUUGUCACACAUGUAUUAGCAUUUAGGAAUAGCCAUAACCAUAAUGCGAAAUGACCCUCACAAUCUGGAUUUUCUGUAUAGUUUAAAUGAAUUUGAGUGAACACAAAGGUUUACUUCAAAAUUAGCUACUCGAAUCUGCAAAAUGCAGGUGGCUAAGCAUUAUUAACUUUUCAAGGAAUAUGAUGAAGCGACGAGAGCAUCUUUCUAUAGUUUAAAUGAACUUGAGGGAAAAUGAGUGGCAUUCGAGAUUAGUUACUUGAAUAGGUGAUGCGUGUGGUUAAGGACUAAAAACUUUUCUAGGAAUAUUAUAAAGCGGUGGGAGCAUCUACUUGUAAUGCUUCAGAAAGAUUAACCCUGGAUUCAUCUGCUCCUUUACUUUCCGAAGCUUAUCAAAGAAGCAGCUUCUCUGUGCUCAUGUAUUUGUCUCCUCUGCCAUUUGAUUCAUGUACCCGAAAAAGGUUCAAGCGGCUGAGUCACUGCUGAAAUCGGUAUCGGAGCUGAAACAGACUGCCAUAUUUCAGGAUUCGCAUCUCUGAAUGACUAUGUUGAACAAAGAAUCGUCGAGUUAAACCAGCAAGCUGAAAAAUCAGAUUGUACGUUGUCUAGAAUUGCGGAGGAGGCAGCUGCCAGUCUCAAAGAGCUCAAAUCUCAUUAGUACUCUGUGUCGCAGAGGACGACUCAUCUCACAGAAUCUUAGUGGAAGAUGGCUGUGAUUUUGUGUAUUGAUUUUGGGGGAUUAUCGUGACUUGUUACUUAUCUUGAAGCUAACAAAAGCUAUGUACGCUAACGGAGAUUCUAGGGUAUUCUUUAAUUUCAGCAGGGUGAUUGGGAGGCUUGCACUCGCGGUUCGAGAGCUAUGUGAUGGAAUGAAUUUGAUAUUCUAAAUAGGGAGUAUUGAGGAGAUAUUUGACUUUGGAAUUCAUCCAAAAUACUUGUCAAUGACUACUGAGUGCAAAUCUCUCUUAGCAAAGAGAUUAGCUACUUGGACUUCCAAGUCCUUACGUUUCUCUCCUGUACUUCUAUUUCUACGAAUUUGCAGCCGAUGGCUGAAUGAGAUGGAAAGCUUUUGCAUGAUUGAUCCCAUGCGAUCCCCCGGUCCAAGCGUAGAUGACCUGCAUUGGAUCGAACAAGAGCCCAGGGCUUACUCUCUUCUUAAAAGCUGGUCCAUGAAGCCACUUGCUCUCUACAAUAGCAAGGAGGCCUUUAGCUUUUAAUUAUAUGCUCCCUUUUUUUUUGUCGAAAUUAUAUGCUCGUGCAGGAAUUUUGGCUUUUUGAAAAAUAUUUUUAAAGAAGUCAUUUUCUAGGAAAAUAGUAAUAUUUUCCAAAGCUUGGCUGAAUUUGAAAAUGGACUGUGGAUUAUUUUCCGUGCUUGGAAAUGAAAAUUUAACUUUUUUUCCGGAAGAAACAUGCACUAUUCACAUUACGUGUGUACAUGGAUAAAAAAUUUCAUUGUUUUGGGCGGUCUAUAAAUAGAAUUUGUGAAAAAUUUAAAUGGUAUCAUUCAUUAACUAGACUUUUAAAAUAAUUGAAUAUGUUGACUUUGAGUUAACAAAACUAAGGCUCAUCUCAUUUUAUUAGACAUAGGCCUAGCUGUCGAGGUCCCGAAGACUUGGACAUGAUUGCCGAAAUCUUGAUCAUGAAGCAUUAAGGUCUUGGGUCAAAUCUCGAGGGACUAAGGCCCAGUCGCUACGAUCCUGAAUCCGGGUGUUGAGGACCCCGCAUUGGUCGAAGACUGGGCCUUGACCUUAGGGGACUCGAGCCUCCUACUGAGGUUCCAAUUUUCUUGGGCCUAGCCAUUCGGAACUCGAGCAUAGGCGCCGGAGAUUGGGGCCCAAUCUCGAUAGACUGAUCUCGAGCAUUGUUGACUUGAUUGCAAGAGCCAAGUAUUCAGGCACGGUAGUCGGUGACUCGGGCAUGGACAUUGGAGUUUUAAGUCCGGCCUUAAACGAUUUGGGACCAACCUCUUUAUAUCCUGGUUUGGCUUAUCUAGCCCUGAUGGACAUUAGUCAUAAGUUAUUGUUGCUUUGUUGAAUAUAUUUAACGUAUUUGGUGUAAAAUCAAACAGAGCUUUUAUUACUUGUUAUAUAAUUUGCCACAUUGUGUUAAUAAAUGAAAAUUUGAUUGAGUAAAAUUAUGAAUGCUUGCGGUGCCUUGAUCUUCAACAAAUGUUAUUGUUUUGGUUCAUCCGUGUCUUUGUUUUAGUUGCACACUGGUGUGGAAUAAUCUUAUAUUUUUAUGAGUACCGUGAUGAGACAGUAAUGACGACGUCCUUCAAAAUGACCAUAAUUUCGACUCAAAUUAAUAUUCUACCACGGGCGUGAAAAUCAAUAAUUGACGACACUAGUUGUCUAUUCUUAUUAUUUAAUUUAAUUUUAUAUGAAAAAGAAAAGCUCGCGCAGCUUUUUUCAACAACAGAAGAACCAAUUUGCUAUCCAAUCCGAAAAAGAAAAAGAAAGAUCUGCUUAAAGUCCAGCUUAAAAUGAAACCUCGUCUCAAAACCCAAAAAGGCCCAAACCCGCAUGUCGUUUUGGAGCGAAACGGCGCGUCCUCGUCCUCCAUUGCCCUAGCCUACACCACUUCCGGAACGACACCCCCAAAAGCUCAAACGGCAAAACAAAACCCUCCUUCGCAAAUACCAUCCUUAGUUAUGGUAUAUGUUAGUUUCCCAAAUACCAAUAUCUGUGUGUGGAAUGAUUGAAAAGAAUAUUGCUAAGUACCGUUGGUCCUCCGCAGAAGGCAAAACUGGAGUCCACUGGAGAAGCUGGAAAAGUUAUAAGGAGGAAAAAAUAUGUCAUCUUGCUUCAAUCAAUCCCUUUUAGACUGUCAAUGAGAAAGUACUUUUAUGUACGAAUACACGACGUGAUAGUGUGAUGUGAUAUAACAUAUGAGUAACCUUUACCCAUGUGCCAAGAGUUCACCCACUUGGUGAUUUGUAUGUAUGCAUCUCGCUCUGGAAAAACAUACGAAAGUUUGUUCCCCGGUUCCAACUCCAGAACACAGUGAUCAAACUACAACAAGAAAAGGUUCUUCAAAAAUGGAUUGGGUGUGAAUGUAUGUGUAAAGGGCGUGCCAGCUCUUCGAAUCAAAAUAUGAUGCAGAAAAUGCUACGUGGAUGAGGAAAUCAAAGUGCUUGAAAAUUGAAGUUGUAAAGAUUGAAAUUCAAGGAAAGAAUUGUAACUAGAGUGAUGAAAAUUGAAAUUAAAAUACAAACAUUGAAAAUGAAAUUACCUUGAAAUAACUUGAAUGUCAUGAAAGCGUUGACGCUCAAACGAGAACAUCAAAAUGAGCACUACUAUAUUGUUAUAUUACAAUGCACAUGAUCGACAAUCUCAACCCUAAAGUACUACUAAAAUUGAAAUACGUUGGUUUAGUAGGAAAAUGCUACAUAGCAAAGUUGGCAGAGUUUUGGCAUAACUCAAGCGUCUCUUCUCCCUCCAUGUUUUUCAUAUAUAUGCUCCUUAGGUUUUCUUUGACGAUAACUGAAAUUCUCGUGCAUUUCCACGGUUUUCUCCAUUCCACCCUUUUGGUAACUCAAUUCUCAUGGCCAUCGUGUAUUUUGUGACAAUAGUCUCUUCUAGAGGAGCCCAUUUGACUUCAUUACCGUGCCCGCUCUUAGUUCAAACAGAUAAAGGUCAUCUCUCUCUCCUUGAGCAAGAUAGCUAUUAAUACACUUCACGUCAAAGCGAAGCGAAGCAAGCUUUAUAGACCGGAUGAUCUCUGGUUCGAAGUCGAACUCGUCGGGUUCACCUCGACGUGACUCAACUUUUUAUGCAGUCACUCUACUUCCUGAAAUAAACUCAGACCUGUUUGCAUGAUGAGGAUCUGACUGGACUCGUCUGUUUGGACAGUGAAUACGCAACAUGUCUUUAUUUUGGACUUUGUCUCUCGGGCUGAAGAUUUGCUAUUAUGAGUUGGAAGCAUCAUCAUGUCUAGUACUACCAUGUCUGGCCCAAACAAAUGUUUCGUAGGCGCAAACCUAGUGACAUAUGCACGGAAGACUCCCCUACGCUUCUAAUUGGUCAGUUAGCUCAAUCUAAUUACAGCAUGAAGGAUAAGAAACUAACAGCUAUUGGAUGUGUUGGUCCUGUUGAAGGGGUGAAGUACUUGAAGUAAGGGCAUCUGGAGAUAUUGAUGGUUGGACCGGCUAUCGAACCGGGAAAGGAGGAGGAAGACCUCUGAAAAGAAGAGUCCAAGAAAGACGGCAAGAAAGAGGAUAUAUGACAAAGAGAAGAUGGAAUAUCAGACUGCAGAGCUAGUUAAGGUCUACAAUGCGUGUUAUCCAAGAAACUACAUUUGGCCAUGUGAUAAGGAAUAGAACCCAGAUGCAUGGCGUUCUCUAUUGAUCGUCUGCUCGAAGAUCUUGUUGAAUCAAACUCAAGCAAGCUUGCCAAUUCUCAGCUUGUGAGCACAACUUGAUGGGUUCAGGAACUAAUCGAGUUUCUGUUAUAAGAGUUGAUUACUAGUUAAAAAUAGACAUUGACAUAAUCAGAAUUGCAUAAUAAACAAAUGUUACUCAAGCUUUUUUUAGCUGAGCUCAUUCAUUUCAUGUCGAUUGUAAUCAAAUUGAGUCGAGUUUCGAUCAUCAAAUAUGUCAGUCCAGUCAAGCUCAAGCUCGAACAAUAUGACUUGACUUGGUUAUACCCUAGAAAAGUUAUGAUCGUGAACAGGAGGGAAGUGCUCAUAAAAGUAGUGAUGCAAGCCUACCAAGUUAUGCUAUUUAUGUUUCAAGAUACCAAUAUCUGUCUGGAAUGAUAUAAAAAAAAUUCCGAAUCACCUGUGAUCCUUCGCAGAAAACAUAAUUGGAGUCCAUUAGAAGGUUCAGAUGCUCUGAGCAUUUUCCUAGAUACACUGCCCACCAGAUUUUGGCAAUUCCUUAAGUUCGAAUGCAAUUGAAGAUAGCCAAAUUUGGCCCUUGAAUCGAAUAGGAUAAUUCAGUGUAAAAAGUGGGGAAAAUGAUAUAAAUGACAAAUGAACUUUGACCUAAUGUACAAUGUCAUUCCUGAACUUUUAAUUUAUUCAAUAUAGUUUUUUUUUUUUUUACUUUAACUCAUUAUGCAAUGUCGUCCAAGAACUUUAAUUUGUUCAAUUCAGUCCCUAAUUUUUUUGUAAAUGUUCAAUAUAUUUCCUAAACUAUAUGAAUAAAUCCAAAUUUGUCUUUCUAUCAAUUCAACUUCAUAGAAUUUACAAAUCUAGCUUGCAAUCCGGUACGUUUGAACUAUAAAAAAACGUUACACAUGAAUUAUUUAUAUAAGAUAAUCAGCUCAAUUUCGAAUAUAGUAAACCUUUUAAUUUUUUAUAUGUUUAAUUUGUUCGAUUUGAUGAUGUAGAUUAUUAUAUCCUCAUUUGAGCUAAAAUCUUAUAUGGAUAAUGUUGAUACCUGAAUUUUGCCAACGAAUUCAUUGUACGUCUUUCAAAGAAAAUCAUUUAGAAAUUAAGUUUGCUUGAAGCGGCGGAAGUUGAAUCAUGUGAAAAAAAAAGUCAGUUUAUAUGACCAUGCAUUCCUUACUCUCGCCGUCUCCCUUGUGCAAGUAUAUACUAUAAGCAUGAUAGUUCAUUAAUAAUUAGGGUUCCUUUUGUGUAGGUCAUCUAUACAUCUCGUGAAGUUUAGUGAUCAAAUUAUUCAAUUCGACCCUUAAUUGAAAACGUCAGUGUUACAUCAUUCUGCGUCCUUUUUUUCUUUUUUCCCCAUUGUGUUUCUUUUGCAUUUUUGAGCCUGGGACAUUGAAGUACUGCGGCCUCGAGCCCUACAGCUGAAGUUUUGGCCAAUAACAAUCUCGGAGAGCCUUGAACGCCCCAAUCCACAUUUGGACUCAAUCUUCUCCCAGGCAAUUUUGACUCAUCUUUUCCUAAUCUUCUGAAGGUGCAAACGGACUCGGAAAAUUGCAUAAUAGGUGUCGCAACGAGCAUCUUCGAGCGAAUUUUCCAAUGAUAUAUGGCUUAUGCUCUAACUCCAAGCCCAUGGGCGAACACCGGUGAUGUAUGGGAUUUGAAAGUGGACUUCUUGAUAUUUUUUUGGUCUCAAAGGUUUACACAAGUUACAUCAACAUGUUGACUAACUCCCAUAAAAAUUGUAGCCUAAUAAGACGAACGACGAGCGGUACUCACUUUUUAUGCGCAACAGACCCAAAUUGCGCAUUCCCACUUUCAGUCCUCUAACCAUCCACUUAAUCUUGCAUUUUCUUCACAUCAUUACACCCUUAGAACCGCUCGCUAUGUAGUCCAGGUUGGACAAGAAAAUAAUAAGUAAUGAACUGGAAUUGGAGUCCAAAGACCAGUUGCUUCUACUGGAGGCUGCUUUGCCCUACUUUGCCGCAAUUGCAGUUGCAAUCAAGCUGAAAUGUGGGAAGGAGGCGGUGGCAGAGUGCUGCAGCUUGGGUUGGUGACCAUCCAAGGUUGAUUGAAAUGACAAGUUCAAUAGAAAACUCAUUGGACAAAGAGGAAAACCUGCUGGACAAAAAAGAGCAGUAAUUGGACUGAAUUUAGAGGGUCGUGGGCGUGAGUAUUGGGUUUUUGGAGGCCAUUCUCUUCUAAAAGAAACCUUGGGAGCUUGAAGGUGAUAGUUAGAGAGCAGAGUGAGGGAAAACUGUGGCAUAGUGUAGAGAGUGAAGCAAGGACAAACCAUACCAAAAUAGUAACUUUAACCCAGAAUAUUCGGGACCAGCCCAUUGAGAGAAAACAAAAUUUUAUAACCUUCCAGCUGAAACUAGCCAAAACAUUACUGUAGAGUGAAAGUUGUCGGGGCUAACAAUACAACCUAAUGGGUGAAUAUAUUGUUUAAGAAUUAUGAAAAGGAUUUGCGGAAUAUAACAAAUUUAAGGGGAAAGGCCACAAGAAAAACUUUAAACUUUACCCAGACUGACACAUUUACCCUAAAUUACCAAAAAUCCUAGACUUUACUCAUUGCGACACAUUCACCCCCAAACCUUUUUCUGUGACACCAAAAACCCCCAAAUUUUUAUCUCUACGGCAUAUUUAUCUCACACUUUUUUUUGUGAUACAAACCCCCCCUUUUUUUUUGUGAUGCAAAAAACCCCCCAACUUUUUUCUAUAACACCAACUUUUUAGAGUAAAUAUGUCACACAAAUAUGAAUUUAGGAUUUUUUGGUGUCAUUGAAUUUUUUUUUUGGAAUUUUUGGUAUCACAAAAAAUAGUUUUUAGAUAACUGUGUCACAUUGUACAAAUUUAGGGCUUUUUGUGUCACAAAAAAAAAGUUUGGAGGUAAAUGUGUCACGGUGGGUAACAUUUAGAGUUUUUGGUGGCUUUUAGCCCAAAUUUAAAUAUAAACAUCAUCAUAAAUAUAUUGUAGAAAUUGGGUGCUUGUGCUGCUUUUUAACAUACUAUGAUGAUUAUAAACACGUAACGUCAAAAGUGAAGAGAUAGAAGAAAUUGCAUGCAAAUAUAUAGUGGUUCGGCUUUAUCCUCAAUCCUACAUCCACUCUUAACACUGGCAAUUACAACAAAGUUGGAAUCCAUUAGUAAACUUCAAGAUAACUCACAAUCAGCAAGUAUUGCUUUUCCAAUAAAUCACACUAUCAAGGCUUAGGUACUACUAUCACUCUUGUACCCUUGCUCGUCACUAAUUACAAACAUUAGCAUGACACAAACAUUGAUAUUAGGAAUAUGCAACAAAUAUUAAUAUAGAUAAAGCAAAGAAGAAGACUCAAAACACAUGACCUAUUUUGUACGUUCCCACCCAACCUAAUUACUUCUCUUGGACAAUAUAUAGUCAUCCAUCCUCAUACAAUCGUUGCACAUCGAAAUCCUCAAGUGGCCAUUGGUUCAUAAUUGCCAGGAAUAGGACAUUGCGACAAAUCAUUAGAACAACUCUUUGACAUCAACAUCUCUUUGAUAGUGGUAGUUUCCUAAACAGUGCCUAUGUACUUUUGUCAGACUUGCUCAUUAAUGCCAUAUCUACUUCUAAUCAGUUUUGGUGAUCUUUUUUCGGAUUCCAAGCAUUUGUAAUGGUUAUUUUGUUCUUCUCUAAAGUUUCAAUUUGUUGAUCAAGUGACUGGCACUUUUCAACACUAAAUAUUGACAAGAUCCUUUACCCCUAAUCAGGACAUGGAGAUUUUUAUUAGUUUGCUGAUGUUGUCCACUGACAAAUCAUGUGAAAUGACUUACAAUCAAUCAUUUAAUGAUUCUUUUGAGUAUUUCAAUUGCCAAAGAUGUAACUUUGAUGAAAGAUUGACCAUAGUACCUCCAAGUCAUCUUGAAUAUCUCAUCAUCUUUGACUUGUUGUCCUCCAUGUCGAGAUCUUCAUUUUUGUACUUAGUCUUCACUGAAUUCACAUAGGUCAUUGAUGUCAUCACAUUCUUUCGUCCCAUCUAUAUAAUGUAGCUGCUCUUUGCCAAUAAUCUACUACACUCGAUAAUGAUGUUGAUCUUUUUUGUCCUUCCAAGUAUGCUGGCAAUUUUAACUAUACCAAGCCAUUCAUUUUCAUGUUCCUUCCAAGUUUCACUAAACAUCUUUAUUCUAGGCUUGUUCACCAUUACCGGGUUCAUUCAACAGUUCACCCAAUUUUUGUACCUCCAAGCCAUCAUGAACAUCUCUAUUCUUCUUGGCUUGUUUACCCUCAAUUAAGGUCCUUCCAAAUGUUCUCCUUGUUUAAAGAUCCUGCUAGCUUGUAGACAUUUCGAUGCUCAAUAUAUUGACGAAGCAAUCUUGACAAUGGGAAAGCACUUCUUAUAUAAGAUCUCUUGGUGUUGUUUAUGACAUCAUUUGCAUUGUAGCUUGUGCAUAUAUCACUUGGUAAUAUUCAACCAACACACAAAUAAUUAGCCUUUGAUUGUCUUUGUCAUUGUCAAACAACAUAGGAGAUCUUCCAACAAUCACCACAUUGGUGAUUUUCCCAACAAAAGUACACUUAAAGAUCUUGCUAACUAGUCGCACGUCCCAAAUGGACAUUGGGAAGUCCUCCUAAAGCCCCAAGCCCCAGCCCCCCCAAAAAAAAUACCCCAUUUCUUGGGUUAGGCAGAAGUCUAAUUUUUUUUUUCUAGGUUGGGGUUGCUUAGGGGCUAGAAAAAGAGAGAGAUUUAAAGAAAAAACCAGAAGAUGUUGAACCAAACCAUUUAUUUUACAUUAAAUUAGGUAUGUAUAUGCAAACCAAGACUUGAUAGUUAAACUGAGGUACAUAUAAUUGAAGUAGGUGACAAAGAAAUAGACAAAAGAGGUGUAGGCAUAAGCUAUUAGAUGCUAACAAAACAGCUUUGAGGUAAACUUUCUUCCUUCCAGUCAUAUAAAGUAAUGAAUCUAUCUUGAUGCACUUAGAUAAAGAAAUGAACCUAUCUAGUUUAUGUGAAGUUUGACAUCAACAAACUUGUUUCAUCCUUGUUCAAUUUCACUGAGGAUGCCAUAUGAGUAUCUACCUUUUUAUUGCUUCCAUCCCAAAUUUCUUCACAUAUUCCUUUACAUAUUUUUCUUGAAAUAUGAAUGUCCAAGGAAGAAGUUCAGUUCCCCAUCAAACUCAUUUCAAAUUCGCUCUUCAUAAUGCUUGCAAAUUCCUUGUACAUAUCAUGGUUAGUUUAAUGAAAAAUGAUAUCAUAAACAUAAAUUUAAAUAAGCAUAUGAUAUAAUUACCAUUCCUCUUGGUGAAUAAAAUAGUAUCAUCUUUCCUUUUUCAAACUCAUUUUUCUCUAAAAAGGCGCUAAGCAUUUUAUACCAAACUCUUGGUGCUUGCUUUAGUUCGUAAAUUCCUUUCUUUAGUUGAUACACAUGAUUUCCUUUCUAUGAAUCUUCAAAUCCUGAAGGUUGCUCUACAAAGACUUUUCUUCAAUAUGUCCAUUUCGAAAUGCACUUUUCACGUCCAUUUGAUUUAACUUGAAAUCAUGAUAGCAAACAUAAACAAGCAAUAAAUGAAUACCUUCUAACCUUGCUACCGGUGCAUAGGUCUCAUCAUAGUCAAUCUAUUCUUCUUGAGAAUAUCCCUUUUAAACAAGUUUGGCUUUGUUUCCAUAACAUUGCCUUUGUCAUCCAUCUUGUUUCUAAAUACCCAAUUCAUAUUCAUCAUUAUCCAAUUCUCAUCCUUGACGGCCUCAUCAAUUUCUUUUGGCUCAACUUAUGAUAUUAAUGCUAGUGAGUUCACAAGUUCUUUAAAAGAUGAUCUCAUUCUUACACCUUCGUCGGCAUCACUGAUGAUUUGUUCUUUUGGAUGAUUAGUUUUGAACUUUCUGUCUUUAGGAUUCAACCUUGACUUCUGCUUGAAGUUCAAAUUGCUGAUUUUGAGUAAUGUCAAUAAUUUGCAGUGGUGCUGGUCCAUUAUUUCCAUUUUGAAAUCCCAUCAAAUUAUUGUUGAACUUGGCAUUGAUAAAGUUUUUUGCUUUCUAUGAAAUCUUAUUAAAAACUCGGUGCACUUUGCUAGUCAUGUAGUAGCCAAGAAAUAUACCUUGAUUUGAUCUUGAAUCAAAUUUACCAAUAUUGCUGUUUUUUUUUUGGUCGAACCAAUAUUGCCGUUUACAUUCUUCAAUAUGUAACAUUUGCAACCAAAGAUGAGAAUAAGAUUUGCUGGGUUUUCUCCCCUUGAACAACUUAUAGGGUGUAACAUGGUGUUUACAUUCUUCAAUAUGAAAGAUUUGCAACCAAAGAUGAGAAUACAAUAUGUUUGAUUUUCUCCCUUUGAACAAUUCAUAGGGUGUUUUCUCCAACAAGGGUCACAUAAAUACUCUAUUGAUCAUGUAGUAGGAUGUUGCAACUACUUCGGUCAGAAUUAAGCUGGAGUGCCACUUUAAAUGAUCAUUGUUUUGGUCUAUCCUGUCUAUUUUUUUUUCUUUCUUUCCACUACACCAUGUUGUUGCACCAUGUUGCUGGAGAGUGUAUGGAGUUGAAAAUUGUGUUCAAUCCCAUUUUCUUCACUGCAAUCAGCAAAGCUCUUGCUUUCAAAUUCACUGCCAUCAUCAGUCCUAAUACUUGCAAUGCUAUAUUCCUUUCUUGUUCUACGUUGUUUGUGCAAUUUUCACAAAAUAUUUGAAUGCUUUGUCUUUGUGAGAUAGGAACAUUACCAAGGUGAAUCUUGAGUAAUCAUCCACAGUAAUUUGACAGUAUCUACUUCCUUCAAGAUUUGUACUUCUUAUAGGUCCAAAGAGAUUCAUGUAAAGUAGCUACAAUACUCGCUUAGUAGAAAUAGUGUUUAUGGAUUUGAAUGUACUUCUCACUCGCUUACCUAAUGACCAUGCAUUGCAUGUCUCAUUCUUCUCAUACGUCGUCUUUGGAAGACCACAUAGAAUGUCAUUUCCAGCUAGUUUGAAAAUUUACUUCAAACUGAUGUGACCUAGCUUCCAAUGUAGAAGCUCUUGCUUUUCUUUGAUAGAAAGUAAGCAACAGGCAGUAUCACAGUUGAUAUCAAGUAAAUAGUUAUUGCCAUAUCUCUUACCAGUAAAUGCCUGUGAAGGGUUUUUGCCUUUACCAAUGCAUUGGUCAUUCUCAAAGCUGAUUUUAUAUCCUUUUUCACAAAGUUAACUAAUGCUUAUCAAGUUGUGCCUAAGUCCAUCGACUAAUGCUACAUCUUUAAUAAUCCAUUCUCCAAGUUUGAUAUUACUUGUGCCAACUAUCUUUCGUUUGUCUUUUCCUCAAAAGGAAGUAGUUCCACUAUCGAUUUUAGUUAAGGAUAGGAAUUUGUUAGCAUUGCCUAUCAUGUGACGUGAACAUCUGCUAUCUAGAUACUAUUUGCUGGUGGACUUCUUUACUUACAACAGAUAAGAAAUUCAUUUCUUUGGUACUCACGUCAUUUUAAGUUGUGUGUUGUUAGUAGAAGGGAAUUUUCAGUUGAUCCCUUUUGGCUUUCUUCACUCUUUUGGACAUUUAUAUUUGGAAUGGCCAUCUUCAUUGCAAAUGGAACAGUCGUAAAACUUUCCGCCAGAAGGUCUAACGAAAUUUCCAGUAAAAUGAAUCUUAUAGGCAAGAAGAUGUGGUUCUUUUUUAAGCCUUUCUUUUGUUUUUGGAGAAGGAUUCUUUUCUUCUUCAUCUUCUUCACAACCCAAACCAAAUUUGUUGUAGUAAGGAAUUCGAAUGGAAAGAAUGUGCUCAAGUGCUUUUGACCGAAGAGAAAACUUUUUAGUGAUUUUCGUAAUCUCUUAUUUCAGAGAGUAGUUCUCAUCUUAAGAGAGUUGAUGUUCCUUCAUAAGAGCAAUCGAUUUGUCUCUUAAUUUUUCAAGAGCUACUAUUUGAGAAAGGUUUUCAGAAGAAAGUAUUGAAACUUCUUUCUUCAAAUUAGAAGUCCUUUCCACAGCUUUUCUGUGAUUUUAAAAAAUUUCUUUCAAGAAAUUUUGCCUUUCUUCGUAAGUAAGUUCAGGAGAAUCUAUCUCAAUUUCUUUGUCAAUUUCAGUGUCAGCCAUGAGACAAAUGUUGGCUUGAUCACCAUCUUCAUUGCUGCUUACACAAUCCGUAUCACUCUAAGUUUUAACUUUGAGUACACACCUGGCUUUCUUUUCCUUUUCUUCUAGGGAGGAUAAUCGGGUUUUAUAUGUCCAGACUUCCGGCAUUCGUAGCAAACCACUUCUUUUUCUUUGACGUCAUCCUUUAUCUUGAAAGGUUUCUUAUUGUCUGAGUAUCCUGUUUGUCUAUUUGCUUCCUUUUCUCAUCAUUUGCUGGAAUUUUCUAGUGAAGAGUGCCAUGUCUUCAUUAUCAUCAUCAUUGGUUAUGGAGUUAUCACUUGCAUCAGUCGUCCGCAUUUAAUGCAAAUUAAUUUCUUAUCUUUAUCUAUCAGAAUCUGUAUUGAGAUGCUUGGCCUCGAACAUAAGUCUCCACUUGACUCCACUCCUUGGGCAGUGAUCUUAGGAGCUUGUUCACCUUUUUAAGUAUCAGUGAGCGUUCUUCCUUGGUUGGCAAGACCAUUCGUGAUUUCAAUAAACCUAAUAAAUAUUUGGGCUGAUAGUCUUGUCAGAUUUCAUCUUGAAUAUCUCGUAGUUCCCGAGAAGAAUAUUCAUCUUUGUUUCUUGAACACGAUUAGUUCCUUACUAGUAGCCGAUCCCAUAUUUCUUUCGCUAUAAAGAAAGAGAACAGUAAAGCAAAGGCUUUGCUUUAGCAAGAACUAGUCUUCUUUGAAUUUCCUUUAGCUGGUCAGCGGUGGACAAUGGCGGGUUGGUUUUCACCUUCCUAUUGUUGAGAUUAAGUAGGUAGAGUAGUUGGCCUAACUGGAUCAACAAUUCCAUUCUCAGUGACUUCCCACAUCUGUGGGUCAGUGCUUCAAUGUAAUUUUGCAUGCACUGCUUCCAUUAAUCAUGGUUGGUUCUAUCAAAGUAUGGAGGCUUGCUAGGUGCAAGAGAAUCGGGAAGCAAAGAAGCUACCAAGGUUAGCUAUCUAAACAGAUCUUUGUGCUCAAAAGUAAAACGCUUCAAUGACCAAGCAAUUGAGCUUUGAUACCAAUUGUUGGGGCUAAUAAUAUAAUCUAGAAAGGGGGUUAAAUAGGUUGCGUGACGAUAUAAUCGCAAGAAAACCAAACAAUCACUACUCAAGAUAGUGAUAGACAUAAGACAACGUGUGUAAUGCUAGUAAGUAAAUAGAGUCACAAAAUGAUAUAUAGUGGUUUAGCUUUAUAUUUAAGAGUAUGUAUACUUUCCAACUAAUAGCCUUAAUAAUGGUUGAAUUCCACUAGUAAUUAGCGGUGCCAAUUACAACAAGCUAGUAGUGUUUUUUUCACUCGAUUCGUACUAGCAAUAGUCAAUAUAUAUCUCUCUACACAACUUUGUUGCUCUUUAUAUACUAAAGUGUUCAAUCUAUCAGUUGGAGACCUUCCAGGAUGCUAAGCUUGCCGUUUGAGAGUUGAUGAAGACCUUUGAUAGUAUUGAAACUGCUCUUGCAGUCGCUUCCUCUGAUUGUCGCAAGUUUCCUAAAAUGGAGUUUGCUAUGCUAACCUUAAGUAGAAAAAUUGUUAGCUACUUUUCCGAUUUCUUUCCCAAUUUUUCAAAACGGAGUCCAAUCCUACAAUGACUAUAGUCUAUACAAUCAACGGUUAUCUUCUGGUGCAUAUCUCACCAUGAUCAGAGCUAUUGCAUCACCACCACAAUCCAAUGCACACCAUCACCGGUACAAAUAAUGAGUGACCUUGCUAACGAUUUCCAAUGACAAUACCACCAAUUGACAAGUGAUAUAGGAUCAAUGAUCUUGCCACCUUUAGCAACACCAAAGACUUUCAAGAACACUCGUUCGAAUAGUCCUUCCAAACUACCAUGAGAUAACACUUAUAUCCGUACUUGUUCACUUAAAUGUCAUAAUCUAGUGUCUCGUCCUUGCUAAUUCAAGAAGAACGUUGAUAAUAAACACAAACGCUAUCAUUUGCAUUAUUAUUAUAAAUAUAAGUAUCAAAGAUAGUUUUGAAAUCAUCAAAAUUCCAUAAUGAUAUUUUCUCGACAGCAAUAAUGAUAUUUUCUCGCCGCUUCAAAGACCUCCAUUUUCGUGAGGACCGUCGCUCAACCCCCACUUCGAUUACCUCCAUUUUCGCGAAGCUCACCGCUCGACCGCUCGCCGAGCCCACGCGGAUUGGAAACUUGUCCGUCUAACGUUACAGCAGGCUUUCGUUCUUCAGCACUGUCUAUUUGCGGAUGCAAUUUUGUGGGUACAAAUUUUAUGGUUCGUGAUGACUGGUCAGAGCGAUAGACCGAGGUUUUACGGUAUAUUUUGACUUGAAAAAGUGGGAGGAUUUAAGGUGAAGAUCCAGAGGAGAAGCUUUUUAAUCUCUCCUUUAUAAUAAGCCAACUCAUCAGAGAUAACCCCCCCAGAGGAGAAGCUUUUUUUUAAGUUUCUGCCGAGACUUGUCGCUCCGGUUCCCAGAGGUGUUGUCUUUCAAUGGAGAAAGUGCCGAAAAGCCGGCUGGUCCGGUGUCCCAGGUGCAGGCAGCUGUUGCCGGAGCCCGCCGGUCACCCUGUUUAUCGGUGCGGUGGCUGCGGAGCUAUUCUUCAGAGUAAAAGUCAAUCUGUUCUUCGGGGUAAAAGUCAAUCGGAUUCUCUAUUCGUCGACGCCUCCGAUGUGUACCUGAGUUUCAUGGGAGCCGACACUAGCUAUGUAUUCGUCGACUUCCUGUAUCGGAGCUUGGUCGAUGCCGGAAUCCGGGUCUUCCCACCUGGUGAAGGGUUUGGCCAGCAGAUUCCGAGAGCGAUCGAUAGGGCCAAGAUCUGCAUCCCCAUCUUCUCCAAGAAUUACGCUUCCAGCAAGUUGUGUCUCCGGGAGCUUGCGGCAAUGGUGGAGAGCAAGGCGAAAUCGGGCGGUGGGAAAACGAUCAUCCCCAUAUUCUACGACGUGGAACCACGUGAUGUUAGGCUUUUAACCUCUCUGUACCGCGAUGCACUAUCAAUACACAAGGAGAAUUUAGGGUCCGAAAGAGUAGAAGCGUGGGAAUAUGCUCUUGCAGAGGUUGCAUCAUUGCGUGGAUGGGUCAGGGGAUCUGGAAGGUAGAAGGCCCGGACUUUGUUACAGAGGUUUGAAACAUAUAAAUCGUUUUCUAGAAUAGCAAUGCUAAACUCCAAUAGAACAAACUGAUUUCUUCGUUUAUGAUGUUGCGCUUUCGGUAGAAAUAAACUUAGAAAUAAACUUCAAGUAGUUGCUCCGCAAUUCAAUAGGAGUGGUUAUUGCUUUGUCACAUAUAGUAUCAGCCCAAAUGUUAAACUUGCGCCCUUUCUUUUCUAACUGAAAUGGCUUACUUCCGUGGCAGGCCGUCUCACAUAGUCAGAGAAGUCACAGAAAUGGUGGUCAAGCUGAAGGUAAACCAUGUACAUGUGAGUACUCUCUAGCAUAGCUCUCAUUUCCAAUUAUCAGUAGUUGAUCAUGGGAAUCGCUUGGAUAUAUUUCCCUGAUAGAAUGUUCACCUUAUGUAUGAGAUGUAAGACUAUUCCCACUAGUCCUAUAUAUAGGAGAUUCAUGUCAUGUGAAACAAAUCUGGUGAUGGAAGGAAUUAAUCAUGAUUUUUUAAUGGUUUUUGUAUCUCUAGAGAGAUUGGGAUAAUAUUGCAAUGAAGAAAGGGAAAGACUCAAUAGAUGCAACAGAAAAGGGCAGAGACAUGGCCUUGGGUACCAACUACGCUGAUGUGUACUUGAGUUUCAGAGGAGCCGACACUAGCUCUGUAUUUGUUGAAUUCCUUUGCCAUAGCUUGUCUGAUGCUGGAAUCUGCUUCUUCAAAGACAACGAAGAGCUUCCACGCGGUGAAGAAAUUGGUCAGGAGCUGCUGAGAGCAAUCAACAGAGCCAGGAUCUACAUCCCCAUCUUCUCCAGGAGCUAUGCUUACAGUGCGUGGUGUCUCCGGGAGCUUGCCGCAAUGGUGGAGAACAAUGAAAAGUCAGAUGAUGGGAAAACAAUCAUCCCCAUAUUCUACGACGUGGAACGUCGGGAUGUUUGGCUUAUAACCUCUCAGUACGGCAAUGCCCUAUUGCAACAUGAGGAGAUAUAUAUGUUCGAGGAAGUAAGAGCAUGGAGACAUGCUCUCAAAAAGGUUGGUUCAUUACGUGGAUGGGACACAAGAUCUAGCAGGUAAAAGGGCCAGAUGUCAUUACAGGAGGGUUUGCAACUCAUGAUUAUUUUCUAGAAUAGCAAUGCUAAACUUCAAUAGAACAAACUGAUUACUUUGUUUUUGAUGUUGAGCUUUAAGUAGAAAGAAAUUUUAAUUAGUUGAUCUGCAGUGCAAUAGGAGUGUUUAAUGCUUUGUCAGAUAGUAUCAGCCCAAAUGUUAAACUCGCACCCUUUCUCUUCUAACUGAAACGGCUUACUUCUGUUGCAGUACGUCUCACAUAGUCAGAGAAGUCACAGGAAUUGUGGUCAAGCUGAAGGUAAACCAUGUGCAUGUGAAUAAACUCAUAUUUGACUCCCAUUUCUAAUUAUCAGUAGUCGAUAACAGAAACUGCUUGAAUAUAUUUCCUUAGUGGAGUGUUCACUUUAUGGGAUGUAAGACUAUUCACACAAGUCUUAUAUAUAGGAGUAUGCAUGGCAUGGCAAACAACUUUACCUUAGAAGUCGAGUUAUGGAAGUAAUCAGUCAUGAUUUUUGAUGAUUUUUGUAUCUCUAGAGAGAUAGGGAUAACAUUGCAAAUGGAGUAUAAUUAUCUGAAGGUUGAUUACAUUCCCAUUAAUUCUAUAUCCUAACUUGUUGUAUGGUUGAAGUGUUGUAUCAACAUAGGUGGAUCAUUUACUAGGAUUUGACUGGUGGGUUUUCUGUGUUGUUUCUGAAGUGCAGCAAGAAAUAAAAGGAAAAUUAAAUUCAAUUUUUACACUUUUUCAUUUCCUGCAGCAGCUUUCUUGUUUACAGUUUAUUUUCUUGCGUAGAAGUUCCCAAAGAAAGAUGAAGCAAAAGAGGGAAUUGACAAACAAGUUGAGGACAUGAUGGACUUACUUGAUUUAGAAGUCAGUGAUGUACGAAUAGUUGGAAUCUGGGGUAAGGGUGGGGUUGGCAAGACGACUCUUGCCAAGGUCAUUUAUGAGCAAAUUUCCUCUCAGUUCGACAGUUGUAGUUUCCUUGCAGAUAUUGAGACAACAGUGAAACAACUUGGAGGUUUUCAGCUUUUACAAAGCAAGUUGAUGUGUGAUAUCCUAAACAGAGAAUACGAGGUUGAUCAAGUUGCGAAAGGAGUUGAUUUUUUUAAAGGAAUAUUACGGAAUAUGAAAGUUCUAAUCGUUCUUGAUGCUGUGGAGGUACAGUCGCAUCUCCACAAAAUUGUUGGAGAGAAGCUUGAUUGGUUUGGUGAUGGAUCUAGGAUAAUUAUCACCACUAGUGUCAAAUCUGUUCUUCCAGAGUUCAUAUCUCAAGGGUUAGCUCAUGCGUAUGGUAUCGACGUGAUGAAUAAUGAUCAAGCUCUUGAGCUUUUCAGAAAGCAUGCACUGCGGAAAAAUCUUCCAAUUCCAGAUUUUGAUGAAAUUGCAAUAGGUAUAAUCAACUCUGUGAAUGGGAUCCCAUUACUUGUUGAAGUAAUUGGUUCACUCUUGUCCAGAAAAGUAGUAGAAGAAUGGACUGCACUUAAGGAGCUAAUUUUGCAAUCUGGCCCGCAUAUUGAGAUGAUUUUGAUGGCUAGUUAUAAAGAAUUGACCAAAGAGCAAGGAGAGAUACUUCUUGAUAUUGCAUGCCUCCCUGCUGAUGUGGAUUGUCGAAUUGCUUCAUUUAUGUGGCAUGAUCUCAAUAUCGCCCCCUCAGAUGGAGUUGAUGCGCUCCAUGCCAUGUCUCUGGUAAAAAUUGGAAAUGAUAAUGAAUUAGUGAUGCACAGGCUGUUAAGGGAGUUUGGCCAACAAAUCAUACGAAAAGAGGAAGAUCUAUAUCCAGGAACGCGAGGCAGGUUAUGCAAUUUGGAUUUGGCCUGGAGAACAAAGAAGGAGGUAGUGUCUUGUGUAAUUCUAUGGUGGAAUGCGUGCCUUACCCUGUUCUCGAGCCUUGGAGUGUUGAGAAAUUGUUCUUUCUCUUUAAUGUUGACUUAUUUAGCUCUCUCAUUUUUCUCCACUUAAUACUUUUUCCAUUAUAGGGGACAGACCACCUCAACUUUGAUGCAAGAGAUUUUAAGAGCAUGCCAAACAUAAGGUUUCUUAUCUUGGAUUGUGCAAAAGUUGUUGGUGAUUUUGCCAAUGUUUUUCCAAAUUUAAAGUGGCUCCAAUGGCGAGGAUGCACUAGAGAUUUUGCAGCUACUAAUUUUCAUGUGGAGAAAUUAGUCAUUCUUGAUCUUUCAUGGAGCAAAGUCACUGAAGACUGGGGAGGUUGGAGAAAAAUCAAGGUAGAUUAAGCUUGUUUAUUUCAUUAAACUGUUCCCCUGAUGAAUAAGUUUUCACCAGUCAUGAAGGCUGAUUUAAGACAUAACAUUUUUUGGCAUAUGGCAUGUACAGAACUGAAUGUUACCCUUGAAAUACUUAAAGAAAUAAUCGGUUGCCUGCCAACAACAUAAGAGGGUGUGUGGAUGAUGGUGGUGGUGGAAUCUUAGAUUGAGUGAAUUAAGGGGAAUGAUUUUCUGGUUGUCAAGAUGGUAAGUCAUUCUUCAGAAUCUAAAUAAGCAUCUUCUUUGACUAUGAAAACAUUUUCCAUCCGAAAUCUUUCUAAAUUAUGCUAGGAUUAUAAGAUUGGAAAACAUAUUUUCAAAAUUUGUUUUUUUUUCAAAACAAACAGAACCUUGACUUUAUUUCCUUCUAAAGAUUUGUUCAGUGUAAGAAUUAAUCUUUCUGUGCUAUUUUUGCAGAUGCCACAGUUGAAAGUCUUGAAUUUUACUGGUUGUGCUGACCUAUUGAUAAGCCCUGACCUGUCCUCGUUCCCAGACUUAGAGAUAUUGAUUUUCGAACGAUGUUCUCGACUAAUGAAGUUAGAUCCUUCCAUCCGUCAUUUAAAACGCUUGACUACCUUAAAUUUGAGGUUCUGUGAUGAACUCAAUAUGUUGCCAAUUGAACUGGGUCACAUGGAAGCUCUUAAGGAGCUCCUUAUUGACAACACUUCCAUACAAGAAAUUCCUGUCUCAAUGGGUUACUUGGAGAAACUUGAGAUUUUUAGUGCCUCCAAAUGUCUCCAAUUAAGUCACCUGCCUGAUUCAGUCUGUGGCUUGACAUCUCUUUCAGUUCUCUCACUGGAAAAUGCAAAAAUUACUCAAAUUUCUGCCUCAUUCGAAAAGCUGGUGAAACUUCGGAUCCUGUCUCUAAAGGGUUGUCGUUGGGUAGGGAGACUUCCAGAUUCAAUUUGCAAUUUGGGAAACUCAUUAGAGGAGUUGGAUAUAACAGGGACAGGCAUUUCUGAAUUGCCCAAUUCAAUUACUUGCUUGGGGCAUUUAAAAGUGUUAAAAAUGGAUUCUUGCUUCAUUAGAGAAUUGCCUAGAGAAAUUGGAAAUUUGGUCAACCUUGAAGAGUUACAUGCUUCUCAUUGUAGGAGUUUGAAGGGAGCCAUUCCAACUGCUAUUAAGAGUCUAGAUCGUCUGAGGAUACUGAGAUUGGGACAUUCCAGUAUUUCUGCCAUUCCUUUGGAAAUUGGAAGUCUUUCUUGUCUUCAGACUCUUGAUUUACUUUGGUGCAACGAGAUUCAAGUGCUGCCAGAGCUUCCCUCCAGAUUAACUUGUCUACAUGUGAGUUCUAAAAGGAUGGAGGCCUUGCCAGAUCUUAAGGAUUUAGUGGAGUUGGAGAAGAUACGUCUGGGUGAUAAAGAUCCUAAGGAGCUCAUAUGUCCCUCAACACGGAUGGAGCCAAAAUCCAGAUCAAGUGAUCUCUUAGUUGCGCACAUAGUACUUCCGAAACUGAAGAUGUUAGAGUUGUCUCAUUCUCGAGUCAGUGAACUGCAACUUGGGCAUGGUUCACUCUCAUGUUCACAUCUUAAGAAGCUAGUUCUAUCUGGCGUGAAUCUUGAGAAUGUGCUGGACCUUCCCUCAUCAUUGUCCGUUUUAUCUAUUCAAUGUUGUUCUUCCUUGAGACAAUUGCCAGCAGUUCACCAUCUGAGCAAACUAUCAGAACUACAUCUCAUCCAAUCUGCAGUAGAAGAGAUUAAGGGACUUCAAGGACUAAUUUCUCUGGAAAUCUUGAAUAUUUCGCACUGUGAAAUAUGUAAUCUCAAUGGGCUUGGCCAAUUAACAGAUUUACGAAGUUUGAUUUUGUCAGACUGUAAUUCACUUGGUGGAUUGCCCGAUAUAUCAAACUUGAAGAUGUUGAACGUCCUAGUAGUCCAAAGAUGCAGCAUGUUAGUGAAUGCAAGGGAGAAAGCACAGAGCAAGUUCAGGAUGCAUUAAAGCUCGCAAUGGAAUGUUCAAUAAACAGUUGAUGUCCUGUGCUCCUGGAGUGGACAUUUAGUUAUUCACAUGCCUCUUCGGACACAAUCAAAACCGUAUGGCUAUGGGUGGCAACAUCAUUGAAAUCCACUGUGAAAUUGAGUUUGCAAACUGGCACAAUUUGAAAUUUGGCACCAAAAGUUUUUUGAGUCCUUCAUCUAUCAAAAGUGGAACCAAGUGCCAUAAAUAAGCACCCUUGCACAACUCACUGGUCAUCAGAUCCUUCAUAUUCCUCUCUCCCUCACCAAUCCAUCUUUCUGUAGUCUCUCUUAUUCAACUGCCAACUUAGUCGUUUCCUGUAAAUUUGGAAUGAUCUAACUCCAUAGAUAUCUGGAAAAUCUCAAGGAAUUUUCUUGUCCCAAAAGCAUAUACAAUUCUUAGACGAUGUGCAUAAGCACAAUUAAGGGACACAUUUGGUAGCUGUCACAUGUGAAAGAACCAAACCAUACGGCUGGUUGUCUGGCAUUGCAUGCAGGAGAUGUAGAUACAUAUAUUGCAUUUAGUGCAAGACAUGCUUGGGCGAGGUAAUGAUACCAGACGAUUUUCUUCUGAGAUUUAUCAUCAUAAACAGUGCCUAUAGCACCCAAAUCUACAAUUCAUUUGACUGUAAAAUGUGCACCUCUUUUGCUCAAGCUCAGCGGGUAGGUAAGAAAUGCACCUAUUUUCCAAUGAUCUUUUACUCAUCACCCGUGGAGAAAGACUUAUGAGCCUUGUAUAUUUCAUGCAGUCUCUUCUUCAUGGAAUGAUGUUGUUUCUCUUGUUCAGAUUAGUCUGAGAGGCAACACUAGACAGAUUCUAGUCUUUAAACUGGCCCAGAAUGCAUCAGUUUAUUACAGUUGGAGAACUCCAAAUUAUUAGUUCCGUUGUCCUGGGACUCACAUUUGUAUUGAGAACAUUUCAAUUGUUUUCUUGCUGAUGUAAUGUGUACGACACACCCUGGAUGACAUGGAUGCUCCUCUACUAAAAUGAAAGCAUCCUCACGAUAAACUGCCAAGAGUGACAUUUAUAGUAAAACACUGAUGGCAGAGAGGACGAGCCGGUUAGAAAGAAUUUAGUAAUGAUUGUAAGUGGUUAUUGAUUUUGGCAUCUUACUUAAUCUUGGUUUAAGAUCACAAAUAGAUUGUCUUAGGUAAAUUUUGUUCAGCAUGAGCUUUUUGCAUGGGUAUGGGACAUCGGUGCCCUAUCCUGUUGAUCCUAGGUCAGCUUCUCACCUUUAACCUAAUAUGGCUUAUUCCAAUCCAAUCAUUUCUGAGUGCCCGCUGUUUUUAGCAGAAUCUUUUGUCAUUUGAUUCCGUGAGUAAAUGUGAAUGGAGAGCAGGGAAUUCUAAUGUCCAGGUUCAGAGCGGGAAGCGUGCGUUGAGCCUGUGAGGGAAAGGUGUUCUAUGAAAGGAAGAGCUUGCCGGGUUUAAGUUUGGCUUGUGGCUGCGGGGAAUUCAAAACGGAUGAAAUCUGAAUGAAUUUGUGACUGGAAGAUCUCAUUGAUUUGUACUGGGCGGACAAGAAUAAACAUGUCAUCAGCAGCAGCUUCUCGUCUGUUAUCAGGGAAGAACUUUCGGCAUUUUGUAGCAGCCCAGGAGCACAUACUGGAACUGUUGUUUUAGGUCAAUGGUUUAUUGAGUCGUAAAAUUUUCAAAAAGUACAAUCAAAUUUUAAAAUUUGUCCAGUCGCUGUAAUUGAGCCCUUUCGAUAACUCCAUCCAAUUCGGCUAAUGAAAAAUGUUAAUGUGACUUUUUAAAAUAAUUUAUCUCUCUUACGUGCUGAUGACUCUUGCUAAAAGGAUUUUUUAAUAUGAUUUUUAUUUAAAUUAAAUGAAAAAUAAGCUAAAAUUUAAGAAGAAGAAGAAGAAAAAGAAGAUGACAACGUAGGUGGUGAGGUUGUUGCCGUUGCCCCACUAUUGCUGGGAAGGGCCAACGAUGGUGGGAGCUAUAGUGGAGAACGGUCAGCAAGGGUGGGCACUAGCUAGGAGCUUGCAAGCCCUUGCCUAAUAUGGGGAGGCUUGUAGGUCCUUGUCUAUGAUUGGUGAGAGUUGCCAGUCCUUUGCACAUGACAACGUUUCUGUUCUCGAGAAGAGUUUUUUUUUCAGAAAAUAGUUUAAUUCUAUUCUGCUUCGGGGAACAAUUUCUGAGUAAAAUAACCCGUUUGGUAACGACAUAAAAUUUCUACUCUUGGAAUAGAAAAAUAAUAUAAAUGCGUUUGGUAACGCAAUAAUUUUUUUUUUGUAUUUAUUCAUUUUUUAUUCGUAUUGACGGAUUGUUGCCGCGGCCGGUGAUCGGCGGUCAUGCAGUGGCGGCCGCUGGCGGGCGGGCAGCGGCGGAGGGUGGGUGGCGGGCGGCGGUCGUGCAGUGGCGGUGGCUAGCGGGCGAGCAGCGGCGGAGGGCGGUCAGCGGCCGCGGUGACGACCGGCGGUCGUGCAGUGGCGACGGCUGGUGGGUAGCGGGCGGCGACGGCCGGCGGCACUGGCGGCAUCGAUUGGCGACCGGCGGCCGGUGGCGGCGGCGGUAGGCGGUGGCUCCGGGCGGUUGACGGUGGUCGCAGCAACAAAAGGAAAUAAAAGAAAAAUAAAAAAGAAAAUCGGCUUAUUUCUAGAAAUUGUUCCCGGGAACAAGAAGCAACUUUUUUUGCUUCUCAAAAUUGUUCCCGAGAACAAAAAAUUAAAGAAAUUGUUCCUGGGAACAAAUGUUUUACCAAACAGAUUUUUGUUCUUUUUUUUGUUCCGGGGAACAAAAGAAUAGAAAUUGGGAGAAAUAAUAGCGUUACCAUGCGCUACCUUAGAUUAAUGGUGGGGCAACAGUGAUGGUGAGGGCAGCCUUGCCGCCUGUUUUUUUUUUUUUUUUCCUUCUUUUAAGUUUUAGAUUUUUUUAAAAAUAUAAUUUAGGUUUAAUCUGAAGAAAAACCUCAAACUGGUAUAUUUAUGAGAAAUUUACCCAAAUUAAUUUUUUGAUCACUAAAAACUCUAAAUUAGUACGCUUAUGAUAAAUUUAUCACAAGCUAAUUUUUUGACUAACAAAAACCUCAAAUUGAUAUAUUUGUGAUAAAUUUACUCCCAGUUAGUUUACGUUAAAUUAUAUUAAUGCCACGAAAAAUCACAAAUUAUUAUAUUUGUGACAAACAGAAAAUAAAUCCCCAAAUCAUUACACUCAUCAAUUGCCAUAUGUCAUCUAUCUCAACAAUUUAACGGUAAAAUUUAACAAAAAUUAAUAGAGGGUAAUUUUAUUACAAGUGUAUCAAUUAGGAUUUUUUGUGGUAAAAAAAAUUAACUUGAUGUAAAUUUAUUACAACUGCACCAAUUUGGAGUAUUUCUUAGUAUUAACCCUUUAAUUUAAAUAAAAUUAUUUUAAAAAUCAAAUUUGGACCAAAAUGGUCCUGUUUUAACCACGUCAUUACAUGUAGAAGAGAGAAAAUAUUAAAAAAAAACCACGUCAGUAUUUUCCGUUAAUUAAAUUGGACAAAGUGAAGAAUUGAAUUGUACCGAUAUGAUACAUUUUAGGAUUUAAUUGUAUUUUUUGUAAUGUAGGACUCAAUUAUAUUUUCAUGACAAGUUUUAUGACUUCUAUUGGAUAAAUCCCGUUUAUGUAAUAUCGUAUAGCGAUGGAACUUGGUCGGGUAGGUUUUCACUGGCUAGUGGGCGGAGAGAGAGAGUCGCAUAAAGGCUAAUUUAAUAAGAAAUUUGGUUCUUGAAGUUCCUGCCAAGCCUUUGAAAUUAUCGUAGAAAAACAUAAAUCUUGGAUAUCUUUGACAAAUAUGGUAUUAGUUUGUUUGCCAUUUCAAAACCCAUACUGAUGCGGAGAGUUUCAUAUCAUAAGGGCUUGUUUGGUUAUCAGGAGUUAAACUUGCCGAGUGAAAUCUGGAUCAUGAUUCUCUUUAUUGCCAAUGUUUGGUAAAUUAGAAUGAGACUGAAAUUGCCAAAAGAGAUUUAAGGUUUAAUAGACAUUUUUAAUAUUUAAAUGCCUACUUUAUCACGUAGGGAUUCAUGUAUAAUUUGAGCAAAUUAUUUUGAUCACUUGCGAUAAAAGCUGUGAAAUGCUUUGCCUUUUGAAUAGGGAUGUAUAUCAUAGCUUGACUUAGAUUUCUCCCAAGUCAUCUUGGCUGCCUACCACACAAGCUGGGAAAUGCUUUACCGUUAUGACAGGAUGUCCAUUACAGAAAAUAACUGGCAAGACCACCUUGACUAAAUUAAUGUUUCUUUAAUCCAAAAGCAAGCAAUAUGAGCAUGAUGAAAAAGAGAGUCGAUCAAGUCACUCAAUUUCUCUUUUCAUCUCGGUCUAAUUUUGGAUAAGAUUUUGCCUCUCUAUAUUGACAAAACGCUUGACUAAUUAAUAUUUUUCUCAUAAAACAUUCAGCCAAUACAUCAAAAAUUUGGUCAAGCAAGGGCAGCUAGACCAUUAUCCUUACGCAGAUUUGAAAAAUGGAUUAGAAUUUUCCUAAAAUCAAGAGCAAAUUUAUUUAAUAAUGUUAAUCACCAGACCAAAACGCUCCGGUCAUUUGAGAAAUUUCGUUCAAAAUAUCAUAAAUGAACUUAACGUAUAUAAUUAAAUUUCCAUAAUUUAGUAAUUCAUCUAUUAAUAGUUGCUGAAUUGGAAGUUUCUUUCCUUCCAUUUUUAUUUUUGAACUGAGUUGAUGUUGAUGGAAGUUCUUUUACCUUAUAAUUCUUAUUUUUGUAAAUUUACAUCUAAUUUCCUUCAAGGUCUAUAUUUGUUGAUAAAUACCAUUCACAAAUUGUAUUUAAUCAUCUUAGAGACAGCGGUUGAUGUCAAUGACUUUCUAAUGUGAAGAAUCUGCAACUCCCACGUAUCUCUAUGUUAACACACUAUCAACCCCUUCACUCCUCUCAGCUUCCUUUGUAUUUGUGCAAAUCUUUGACACUAAGCUUCCAAACUUGACAUCUUUCAUUAUAUUAUUCCUAAUCAAUUUUUUCUUAUCUGUUCCCAAAUCCCAGAUGGCAGUUUCUGGACCAGUGAGCAUUAGAUUGGUCCUAUGUGGAAAUUUGCUUUCAUAGCCUAUCAAAUUCCAUUUUCUAAUAAAAGCAUAUAGCAAGAUAUAGGAUGAUUAAACAAUAUUUUAUCCACAUGACCGUUUCAAAGCAUCGCAUUAAUCGAGUGAAUACAGUUACUAAAUUUGAAAUAUAUUUUAUAACGUGCUUUCAUUGACUCUGAUUAGCCUUCAUUCUCAUUUGCGUAUCAUUGUAUCUCCUUUAUGUUUCAUUACAUUAAACUAUAAUUGCUACUUCACUUAUUUCUACUAAUGCCAUCUCGAGUCCCUUAGGCUUGUAGCCUGAACAAGCUUGAAAUGAAAAUCACUUAAAUACGCUCAGGGACUGGCCCCAUCUAACUCAUGCUUGAGAAAUGCGGGGCCAAUUCGGAUUUUCGAGCCCUGGAUGUCUCCUGAAUUAUGUUAACUUUUAACAUUUUUUAUUUCUCGUCUUUAGCGUCCAUAGUGCUGGAGAGGUGGAAUUUUUUUGUUCUGUUAUUUUUUUCAUUUUUGAUCUUUGAUGUUGAAUGGGCUAGCAUCCGUAAAAGUUGUCCAACAUUCUCUUUCUUGCCAAUGUCUGGUAAAUUAGAACGAGGCACCAUUUGUUGCGGAAAAUAUGAUAUUUCUGAAAGUUAUUUUUGAAGAAUGGUUUCCUGAAAAGUAAAUUAUAUUUUUCGUUGUUCGGUUAAAAUUUAAAGAUAAACUAGAAAAUAUUUUCCACCGUUUGGUAAGAAAAAUAUUUUCCUGCAUGCACUUUUAUUUCAAUAAUUUUUUAUAAUUUUAAUUUUUUAAUAUAUUUCCUUUUCUUUUUCUUUUUUUUUUCUUUCUUUCUUUCCUUCUAUUCUUCUUGUUUGGCCUUGGCCGAUCGCCAAUCAUGGCAGCAGGUGGCAAUUAGCCAAGGUUGAAAAAGAAGAGAAGGAAAGAAAGAAAAUAAAAAAAUAAAAUAAAAUAAAAAGAAAACAUAAAAAUGAAAUGAAAAUAUGUUUGGUGAAAGAAAGAAAGGUGGAAGAAGUUAUGGAAAAUGUUUUUUACUUUUGAAAAGCGAAAAAUAUUUUCCCCACUUUUGAAGGUGUUUUUUUUCAAUAACAAAAAAUGUUUUUCUUGAUUAGUUGAUUUUCUAUGAAACAAACAUUGGAAAAUUUAGAAAACGUUUUCUUGGAAGUUAUUCCAUAAAAUGAACAAAAUCUGUAUGCAAACAAAACUUGAGAAAAAAAAAAUUGUUGCAUUAUUGCAUUUUCAUUACUAUGGAGGAAGGUCGUGGAGGAAGGUAGGAAUAAGUAAGAACAAGAACAAAGUACAAGUUUUUAAAAAAAAAAAAAACAAGUGGAUAAUGGAUCAUUAGCUAAGUCAUUGGUCCCGUAACUUUUAAAUGAACAAAUGUAAAUUGGUAAGCACACUUAGCUCAUUUGCUUAUAUUUUUAGAAAUUUGAAACGAUCAAAUUCAAAUCAAUCCAGAAUCAAAUAGAACAUGGUUGACACCAUUUCCACGGCUUGAAUGUCUAAAUACACAGCAUUUAAUGGUAAUCAGACGAAAUACCCAUAGAAACCACCGCCUUUUUUCUUGUUCAUCAAGCGGUGGAUGGCCACACUCAGCCCUCCGUACCUCCUCCUCCUCUGGCAUCUAAUAGGGGUGAGUAUGGUUUCAUGAUAAAACUUAAAAUUGAAGAAUCAGACUAGUAGAAAUCUAUCAAGUUUCAAGUUCUAAGAUAUGUAUGAUAGGUUUUAGCAGAUAAGUUUCAGAUUCUACAUGAGUGAAACUUGGAGAAUCUAAAAUAAGUUUUUGUGUUUUUCUUUAUCUAUGUUUUUACGCGGUUCCGCAGUAUUUUAUGGCGUCUGAUGAUAAUUGUAUAAUCAAGAACCGCUAGUUUAAGCUUCUAUUAUGAUUAAAACUUUUACCUUGUUGAUAUUUAAUAUUUUUCAUAUGUCUAAAUAUAAGUUGUAGUUAGUGGAUUAUAACAACAACCAGUGGUUUCCUACAAAAAAAAAAACAACAACAACAACUGGUGAUUAUUAAAUGUGAUGAUUCACUAUAAUCAUUUAAUUAAUAAUAUAGAUAGAAUCUGGAUAUGCAACGUAGGUUCUAUAUUCCAAAAAAAUGAUAAACAUGUUCUAAUGGGUAGAUUUUACGUGGAGCUUGUACGGAGUCUGGAACUGCUCCUCACUAGAAUUUAACGAGCAGAAUUUAUAUGUGCAUCUUCCAGAACUACUCUAUUGUGUCUCUUCUGACUCUCUUUCCACUAAUCUGAAAUAUCCUUCUUUGCUCAACCUUCGCCUACUCUUUGCUCAAUCCAAGAAUGUCGGCUUUGAACACAUUUAUAGUUAGAGUCUCCUCCCAAUCGACAAAAGCUUUGUAUGAGUGACAACACCACGAAGUCACUUUUGACUCGAGAUGGCAAAGUGCGUCUAAAACCCAUAUUUGAUGAUGCAAGUCAUAAAUUGAGUGUCUUGAGUUUUAAAAAUCAUGUUUAAAUAGAUCAUAAAUGGGUUGUUUAAUUAUCUAAAUGAGUCAUAAAUAAAUUGAUGGCUAGCUCAUUUCUAACCUAUAUGAAAAAAAGAGAACAAACUAUUUUUAAUUCAUAUCAAGUGGAGUUGGAGGCAUCAAGCCAAUUUUUAUAAUUUUAUAAUUUUUUGAAUUUUUUAAUAAUUUUUUAUUUUUAUUUUUUAUCUUUCCUUUUUCUUUCUAUCUUUUUUUCCCUUAUAAGUCUGGCGAGGGUUGAUCGACCAUCACCAACCAUAGGCAAGGGUUGACAACCCUUGCCGGCCUUAAAAAGAAAAAUGAAGAAAAUGAUAAAAAUUGUCAACUAAAUUUAUAUUGCAUGAAAAUUUUUUAGCAAUAUAUUUAAAAAAAAAUCAUCAAAAACAAGUUUUCAUGAAUUUGAUUAUAUAUGGAAGGAUUUUGACAAUAUGAAUAGAGUAGAUGGUUAGGGUAUGAGUCAAGAAAUUUGUAUUAUAAUAAAUGAGUCUAUUUAGAUUGAAUCAUUUAUGACCCCGAUCCGACUCUGCCAUUUGACAUGUAUACUUUUGGCUCCCGAGUCUGUCUUUGAGAUUGACUUCACCCAUUUGAUCUCCCCGAGAUGGUGUGAUGUUGUACCAUGUUUGAAAUGAAUAUAUAUAAUUUAUAGAAACUUUGGUCUACUGAUAAUAAGAAAAAUUGUGAACUGCGGUACUAUAUUAAAUAGAAAAUAUUUUUUAAGCACAAAUGAGUUAAAAUUAAAUUGUAAAACAAUAAAGAGAGAUGAUGGGACACCUAAAUCCCUGGAUUGUCAAAAGUUGACACAAAUGAGCACUUAAGUGUCAAAAGUUACGAAAGUGAUACUUAAGUGCAAAAAUUGAAGUAAAAUGGAUUACUUAAGUGCUCUGGGCGAGAAAAUCUAGCCGAAACACUGAUGUGGCAAUUUUCUGGCGAGCUACGCGCAAAACGACGUCUUUUUGUAUGUUGAUGUGGCUAAAUAGUGUCAAAACGACGUCGUUUUUGGUAUAAUUCAAAUUUUAAUAUAAUAAUUAAUUAAAAUUAAAAUUAAAAAAUAAUUAAUUAAUUAAUUUAAAAAGAGGGGAGGGGGGAGGGGGGAGGAGGGGGGGGGGGAGAGGAGGAGGAAGGAGGCAAUUGACGGCUUAGGGUUGAGUCCUCAUCGCCGUCGCCCACCAUCUCACCUCCGUUGCUAGGGAGGUGGGGGGAGGUUAGCUGGGGCUACCGAGCCUGGGCCGAGAGCCGGCGGCCCCAGCCGAUCAGUGGCGAGGGCCUGCGUGCUCCCACCCUAGAGCUGCAAUGGCCCCCCAACAGGGGGCGGCCAUUAGGUCGGCCGAGUAAGGCUCAGUGACCCUUGCCCAGAUCUAGGGCGAGGGCACGCAGGCCCUUGCCACCGGUUGGCUAGGGCCAUCGGCCCUCGGCCAGGGCUUGGCAACCCCAGCCGACCAUCCUCUACCUUUUGGCGAUGGUGGGGUGGUGGCGGUGAUGAGGGCUCAGCCCUCAGCCGUCUGCUCCCUCCCUCCUCCUCCUCCUCUUCCUCCAUUUUUAAAAAGUAAAUAUAAGUUGUUGUUGUUGUUGUUAUUAUUAUUAUUAUUAUUAUUAUUAUUAAUUUAAUUAAUUUUUAUAUUAUAUUAAAAUUAAAGCGACGUUGUUUUGGUUGAUUUAAGGGCUCUAUUUUGGCUAACUAUAAAAACGACGACGUUUUGGGAGAAUUAGAGUUGAGUUAGCUCUUCGGUGGCCACGUAGGCAAGUAAUAUUAAUAUUUAAUUGUCACGUAUGAUUUUUGGCUGGUUUUGCCAGAGGUGGCAUUCAAGUGUCAUACAUUUUUAUGAAAGUGGCAUUUAAGUAUCAUUUUCGUAACUUUUGGCACCUAAGUGUCUUAUUGUGUCAAUUUUUAGCACUUGAAGCGAUUUUUUGCCGAGAUAACGGUAUCGAUUAUGUGUAUCCGUAAGGACUAGUCCAACCUCAAUAUUCAAAUAUCCCGUUUUAUUCAAAAAAAAAGAAAGAGAAAUGAGGGGUAAAAAAUUAAUGCAUCUAUGUCUAGCGAUGUUAGGACAAAUAAAAAAUUAACACGUGCCACAAAAAGUUGCGGCCCUUUUUCCCACACCUGUUAAUGAAAUUUUGAUAAUAAUACUAAAAUAUUAUCUUUUUUGGUUGCCACAAAAAGUUGCGUUGACUUAUGCAUUCUCAAGUCUUGCAUCUUCCACCGGCAUUCACUUUUAAUCAAUCUUUUAUCUGAUAUCCUAAGGUCCAGCUCCGGGAGGAAAGAUCUCUUCGUGUAGCAUCGAUAGCGAGCGAGAGAGGGAGGUGAUGGCCCCCAACUCGUUUCUGUCGCCUCCUUUGUGUUGCCUGUAUUAUAGACGCAAGAGGAGAAAUCCGGUUAGUUCCGCUUUCUUGUUCAUUUCUUUUGUGGGUUAUGUCUGCGUGAGGAUGAGGACUGUUGAUUUCAGCUGGUGUAUGCUCAGAUCUGCAUCUUCGGCGCAAAUAUUUCUUUGGACAACACAAGAACAUUUUUUUUUAAUCUUAAUUUGAUCUUCAAAUCGGCUUAGAUCUCAUAUCCUUUUAAGAACAUCAUCAAUGAGCCUAGAUCGGAUGGGGUCAACUCAUUUUCUUUCCUUUCGUUUCCGUUUUCAUUUUUUCUUUCCUUUCUAAAGCAGCUCGAUUGUCUCAGAUCAGAACAUCCUAGUCAAGGCCUUAUGCCUCCACUUUUUGCUUCGCUGCUUUGCGGGAAUUAUAUUAAUCGGAGUGGCAACUUUGUGAUAGAGUUCGCCUUUUUCAUUUUACAGAGGCCGCCGCCUCCUCCACUGCCGCCUCCCCUGCCUCCCCCUCAGUUGCCACCACCGCCGCCUCCUCCACCACCACCACCCCUGCCUCUGCCUCAGUCGCUGCCACCGCCACCUUCUCCUCCACCGCUGCCCCUGCCUCCACCUUGGUCGCCGCCGCUGCCGCCUCCAUCAUCAUUGCAGUCCUCGCCGUCUUUAUCAUCCAUCUCUACCUCAUCAAGAACCAAUUAUGAAGUGUUCUUGAGUUUUAGAGGUCCCGAUACUCGCAAUGGAUUUGCAGAUUACCUCUACACCAGCCUGAUUAAUGCAAGGAUCAGGGUCUUUAGAGACAAUAAUGAUCUUGAUCCUGGAGAAAAUAUCCCUGAUGCAUUGGUUCAAUCCAUAAACCAAUCCAAGAUAUCAAUACCCAUUAUCUCCAAGGAUUAUGCAUCCAGUAGGAGUUGUCUCAUGGAAUUGGCACAAAUGGUGGUAUGCAAAGAAGCAGAGGCUCAACUGAUCGUGCCCAUUUUCUAUGAUAUCGACCCCGCUGAUUUAAAAUACCAACGUGGAUGUGUUGAGGAAUCCUUCAGUAAGCACGAGCGCCGUAGAAUUGACCGCAAGGAAAUUUAUAAAUGGAAGCAGGCUCUCGGAAAGAUUACUGAGAUGAUGGGAUAUGAUCUGCGGAAGACAAACGAGGGGUAAUCAACUUUUUACUGUCCUUUUAAUGAUAUUAGCUUUAGCUAUAUGAGAAUUUUGCCAAGCACUAUGUUUUUGAAAUUUUUAACUGGAUGGGGCUAGAUUUGAUAAUGAGGCAAAUGUACUUUCCGUGCCCUUCUUGUUGCCCACUGCAUCGUCCUUAAUUGGUCAAUUUAGUACGGUUUAACUGGAUUAUUUCCUUUCGACCAAAAAAAAAAAAAAACUGGAUAAUUUCCUUCGUAAUUUUCAUGGACUGUUGUUAAUUAUGUUGUAAUCUCAUCACGAUUCCUUAUUUUCAUCUUCACAUUUGGCAGUCAUGGUGCAAUCAUAGAGACAGUUGUUUCAUAUAUUCUAGAGUGGCUGAAGAAGAAUGAUUUAGAUGUGAUUGACGGUUUGGUGGGCAUGGAACCCCACGUACGGGAGGUUAUGAAAAAGCUUGGUGUCAUCUAUGUCAAUGAGCAGGCAACCGGAGUACAUGACAAAGAUGUACGCAUACUUGGAAUAUGGGGCAUGCCAGGGAUUGGCAAGACUACCCUUGCAAAGGUUGUGUACAACAAAAUUCAUCGUCUCUUUGAACGCUGUAGUUUUCUUUCCAAUAUUCGAGAAAAUGGUGCAUCCGAUGGACUCAUCAUGGGCCUACAAGAACAGUUAAUCUCAGACCUCCGAAGGAAAGAACGUAGAAGGCUAGGAACUCUUGAUCAAAUGACUAAUGUCAUAGAAAGUUCAUUUAGCAAAAUGAAAGUUCUCAUUCUUCUUGAUGAUGUGCAUGCUUUUGAACAAAUCAAGCAUUUAGUUAGGAAACUCAGUUGGUUUGGCCCGGGAAGCAGGAUUCUCAUGACAGUUGGAAAAAUCGAUGUUCUUGAUGGUUAUGGAGAUGGAGUGGCUGAUAAGUAUGAGGUUGAAGAAAUGGGGCCUUGUCAAGCUCUUCAACUUUUCCGCAAGCAUGCUUUUAGUGGGUGUACUUGUGAAGAGGAGGAUGAGUAUGAUUCUCUAUCCAGAGAUAUUGUUAAUACUAUUGGAGGGCUUCCUUUGGCAAUAGAAGUAACAGCUUUUUUCUUGCAUAAGAAUAAGGGGAAAAGACAAACAUGGAAAGAUACAUUGGAUAGCUUAAAAAGGAAGCCGGGGAAUAAAGUCCAACAAGUGAUCCAGUUAAGCUAUGACUCCUUGCAUGAAGAGACAAAAGAGAUAUUUCUCGACAUAGCAUGUUUUUUCAUUGGAACAGAUGAGAGAAUUCCCUUAUACAUGUGGCGUGCAUGUAAAUAUGAUCCAAGAGGAGUCAAAUUUCUCCAUGACCUAGGUUUGGUCAAAAUUAGAGAAAACAAUGAAAUAUGGAUGCAUAAUCAACUAAGGGAAUUUGGCCGGGAAACUGUUAGAAUGCAAGAUCCCCACGAGCCUCGAAACCGAAGUAGGUUAUGGAAUCACAUUGAUGCACUUUCCAUGCUUAAUGGAAAGCAGGUAUACUUUUUAAGAUCUUAAACACAGUCAACAAUCUUUGAAGAUACUUCCUUUCCUGAUUUUUCUUUCCCAAAAUGAAGUGUGAAUGGCUAUAUUUCAUUUCCCUUUCUACUUAUUUAGUUCCUUCGAUUUGCAGAGUCCUAGCAAGGUGGAAGCCCUUGGUCUCACAUUUGAUGAGGGACAAAGUGAAAGUUUAAGAUGUGAAAGAUUUAACCAUCUAGGGCGCUUGAGGUUCUUGAGAUUGGACCGGGCUAUUGUUGGAGGGAGUUCUCACGAUGUAUCUGGCUACCUAGGGCACUUGAGGUUUUGGAGAUUGGACAAGGAUUCUGUUGGAGGGAGUUCUCAGAAUGUUCUUUCAAAUUUAAGGUGGCUUGAUUGGCAAGGGUGCAGUCAGAUCUCUGAACUACUUAUUUUUCAUUUGGAGAAACUGGUCAUUCUUGAUCUAUCUCGCAGUUUGGUCAUUGGAGAUUCACAAGUAUGGGGACAAGUCUUGAAGGUAAAGUGCAAUUUUGUCUAUGUAUCUUGGGAUUAUUAGAAUAGCUAGCACCAACUGAACCUUUUCUGUCCUCUUUUCUUGCAGAAGGCAAAGGAAUUGAAGGUUUUGAACCUAAGUAGUUGUAGUAACCUGAAUGCUUUUCCAGACUUCCAUGCUUUGAUGUACUUAGAGAUAUUGGUCCUGGAACAUUGUUCCGCACUAUCCCAAAUUGAUCCAUUGAUAGGUAAUCUGAAGAACUUAGUCUCCUUAAAUCUUAAAUUCUGCAAAUCCGUCAGCAGAUUGCCGCAAGAACUAUGUGAUAUGAAAGAUUUAGAAGAACUUCUGAUAGAUGGAACUGCCAUUAAGAAUAUUGAUUUCAAGCCAGCCUCCAUGGAGAAACUUAAGAUUCUGAGCGCUUGCCAGUGCAAAAAAUUGGCUCAUAUAUCAGACUCUAUUGGUCACUUGGAAUCUCUUGUGCAUCUUCGAUUGGAUGGUGCUGAUAUUGAACAGCUACCAGAUUCUAUUAAGUCCUUAAAGAAACUUCGGAGCCUGCUUCUAGGAAAUUGUGAGAAACUAUGUGAGCUUCCUCCUUCCAUUGGGAAUCUUGAGUCACUGGAAGUCAUGGAUCUAUCAAACACCCAGAUUGUUAGUUUACCUAGGUCCAUCAAGCAUUUGAAAAAUUUGAAAGUGCUGAAGAUGGAGGAAACUCACUUAGAAAAAUUCCCCAAAGAGAUAAAAAAUCUAAAAAAGCUGGAAGAGAUAGAUCUAUCAAAAUGCUGGAAUCUGAAGGGGUGGAUUCUCUGUGAUAUCAGAGGAUUAUCCUCAUUGAAAAUCUUGAGGCUAUCAUCUACCAGUAUUUCUAGCCUACCCUGGACCCUUCCUUUUCUCUCUGAUCUCCAACAACUCGAUUUAAGUAAAUGUGACCAACUUUGGGAUUUGCAAAGACUUCCAUCUAGCUUAAGCAUUCUUCGUUGGGGAUCCAAGACAAUGUGGACUGUGCCAGACCUUUCUUUCUUGAGAAACUUGAAAGAGCUGUACUUGGGUGAUAACUUUAAUCCUACUGAUCCAAUGCAGAAUUCUUCCCCUGAGCCACCACAAAUUGGAUGGUUAGCAAGACUAGCGAGUCUAGAAAUCUUGGAGUUGUGCCACUCAAAGAUUAACAAGCUACCUAAACAUUUUAGUAAACUUCAACUUAGAAAACUUGUUUUACACUAUGCAUGCUUGUGUGACCUUGGGGAGCUACCCCCUAGCUUAUUGGUAUUGUGCCUUCAUAGCUGCAUGAUUCAAUAUUCAUUAUUUUCUACGGUGAGAGGUCUGUCUGAAUUAGAACUCAAACGCUGUCACUUGGCAGAGACUAUCAGUCUUAAAGGUUUGAGGCGAUUGGAACUACUGAAAAUAUCUGAUUGCAAUGUGCGAAAACUUGAUGGGUUGGAAAAUUUGCCUCAUUUUAGAAGGCUCACUUUAAUGGACUGCCCUUCAUUGACCGGAUUGCCAGAUCGAACAAAUCGUACAUUCGAAAUCGAUGGGUACAAUUUCCCAGAAAAACAAAUAGUCGGCGGUUAUGGUGCUCGCACCGAUGGUUAGAAUAUUGGGGAAAUGCUUCAAGAAUGAUUCCGACUUAUGAGUGAAGAUCUUGCUGCACAGUGGAUUUUCGGUCUAUCUUCAAUAAGAAGUUGGAGGCUCUUUGAAAGGUAAAUAUUGCUACUUUUUGCUUUCUUUGACUUGAACAUCUGUACAGCUCCAUGAUGCGCACCACAAAAAAAACAUCUGUACAGCUCCAUGAUGCGCACUACACGGUCCUUCUCUUUUGGUCCUGCAGUCAAAUUUCCGAGCAGUGUCCUCUCCACCUCUUGGGCUUGGAACUUCUUUGUUGGUAGGCCCGACCUUGGGGGCUUGGACAGGCCAGUUUGUGCUUUGAAAUCUUUUGCCAGCUUUCGAUUUUAAUUUCUCAAUUCUUUCAUUUAUUUUCUAUUCUUCUAGUGAAGAUGCAUAAAUGGUAACUGGAGCACAGAAUCCAGCAUAAAUUAAAACUAACAACAGAAAUUUGAUAUUAGAUAAUUCAAUAUGCCAGUGCUUUGUGCAUGAAAUCAUGGAACAUUCUUGGCAUUUUAAUUUCUUCAUUUUUCGCUCGUUUUUGUCAUUCAGAAGACGGUGGGGACAGAUUUAGUAGCAAUAUACUGGGUGGGUUGGGAUGGAUCCUCAAUGUCAGAAUGAUGAUUGGGCAAAGACUCUACUUGGUGGAGGAGAGAUGGCUGGCUCUUUUGUUUGGAUGGGAGAUUUGUAGUCUUGGAAGUCCGGUGGAUGCACGUUGAAAAGAUAAGCUGAUGGGACUCGAGUGCAACACGUGGCGUCGCAUGCUGCUCGUUCCUUUUUGGGCUGAGGCUUACAAGAUUAACAGGGGAGUCGCAGCUGCAGUGUUGCAGAGUUUUGACUCUCAAUCUGGGUCGAUGUUGGUAACUUAAAAGUAAUAAGAACAAAGCCUUUCCGGUACCCAUAUCAGUGUUGCAACGAGCGUCAAAGGGGUAAUCAUUGUCUCAUAUCUGUUUUAAUCAAUACACUGAUCCCGCGUCCGUAUUCUGCAACUUCCAUCAGGCACUGCAUUUUUCCAUCAAACAUUGUUGUGCAUUAUUAUCUGCUGUGCUUCGAGCUCUCCCUUAUGAAGGUUCAUAUGCGACAGUCAUAUUAUUUUAGCAGUUCGACAAGCCAAAAUAAUUCGUUUGCGUUUUAUAAAAAGGAUUCUCCACCGUGAAAGCUUAUUAUACUACUUAUGGCCAUGUGAUAAGGAGAAGAACUCACAUGCUUUUGUUCUAUGAUGAUCAUUUUCAUUCUCUUUCGUUUUUUCUAAUUUUCUUGUAAAUUGCUAUUGAGAAUGGUGAUUUGUGGGUGAUUUUCCUGAGGAAGCCUCCAAGAUGUAACCGAAACUAGAAUACUUCGUAGGGUCAACUUGUCAUCUUAAACUUAUGCUCUAAUGAGGACAGUACAUCCAGACUAUAUAUAGAAGUGAAAAACAUUUUAAUCAUCUUGUAGGAGAGAGGAAAUGCAGAGUGCUUUCGGAUAUCCUUUAGAAUAUGUUGUUUGAUAUGGAUUUCAAGUAUGGAUAUUUACUGUGUCAUGAGAAAUAUAGAAGCAUCUUGAAUAUUACCGUCUAUAUGUUGUGAGAGACUUUGGCUAUGCAGACGUCUUAAAUAUUUCCAUGUUCCCUUCAAGCAACAGCCUUUGGCUGCCAAGAACACUGUUUGUGAUGACAGCCUCUAGCCUCGCAAACAAAUUUUGAGCUUGAGGUUCUUGAGAUUGGAAUAGGCUACUAUUGGAGGGAGUUCUCUGAAUACUCUAUCAAAAUUAAGGUGGUUUGAUUGGCAAGGAUGCAGCCAGAUUUAAACUACUUAUUUUGCAUUUGGAGAACUAGUCAUUCUUGAUCUAUCUCGCAGUUUGGUCACAGGAGAUUCUCAUCUACGGGGACAAAUCCUGAAGGUAAAGUGUACAUUAGCCUGGGAGUAUUAGAAUAGCUAGCGCCACCUGAACCUUUUCUCUCCUCUUUUCUUGCAGAAGGCAGGGGAAUUGAAAGUUUUGAAGCUCAGUAGCUUGAAAGUGCUAAUAUGAACACCUAGAGGGGGGUGAAUAUGUGUAGAAACAGAUUUUGCAAAUUACAGUGAAAAUCUUUACUUUUAACUCUGAAUAAUAACAGACUUUUGAAACUGAGUCUGAAGAGUAGCAGACUUUGAGCGAGAUCAAACUUUGGCAGUUAAAUAGAAUUACGAACAAAAUAAAAAGAUUCAGGGAAGAGAAUAAUAACACAAAGUUUAUAGUGGUUCGGCUUAGAUCAAGCCUACGUCCACUCUCCCAUGCUAACAGCCUUCUUGGCUGAAUUCUACUAUGCAAUCAACAAGAGAUUACAACUUUAAGUGUAAAUACUUAGUAGUAGAUCUUACUAUCUCACUAAGUCACUCUUUUGGUAUUUUUAUCACGAUUACAAACGUUUAAGCUCACAAGAGACAAGUGUAUGAUCGAAGAUCGCUCAGACUUUGGAAUUAUAAAUUCUACGCUCUGUCUCUUACUUGCUCAUCAGUCCAUCAGUCCUUGAUUUCCUUAAAUACUUCUCCACUUCCAAACUAGCCGUUGGACAGUAUCUCGAGGAUCGUCUUCCAAUCUACCCAUUGGACAGAUCUGUAUCUAGAAAAUUUGGUAGCCGUUGAGUGACAAAGGUAGAAUUCCAAAUCGAUUUCGAUCGCCCAUAUAAACAGAAUCUUGGUUUCCAUAAGUAAAGUUUCUUCAUAUAGAAAAUUCUUGUCUUCAAAAUCUAAUUGCCAAUCAAUUAGAUUGAGUCAAUCAAAUCAAUCUUGAUGUGGAAUCCAAACCAGAUCACUAACCAUUAUAUGUUUAGGGCUUGUAUUACGUUCUGUCGAAUUAUCUCGUUCUGGAUGUAAGCAAUAGACUUUAUAAUUAGACUUUACAAUUUGAGUCUGAGCAUAUUUUGCUUUUGAACAGAUUUAGCUUUAAGGUUUGAACAUAGUUUGAAUAAGUUCAGCUUCAACAUAGAGUCUGUUUUCUAGUUCAGUUUCAGCAUAGAGUCUGUCUUCUGGUUCUUUAUUCACGUUCAGUCUGGAAUUUGUCAGAAUGAGCAGACUUUUGAUAUAGAAUAGACUUUGACAUUAAAGUCAAAGUCUGGCAGUCUUCAGACUUUGACACAGAAGUCUAGAAAUCUUUAGAAUAUACUUUGGACAUGUGUUAUGUUCAGUCUUCUGGCCGUCUUAAGACUUUGACAAUAUUCUUUACAUGUUUUAUCAUCUACAUGGUCUAUUACUUAACCAUUAAACACAUUAGUAGCUUUUGAUUUAUUUUGUCAUCUUCAAAACAUCAUAAGGGAUUUCCCUAACAUAGCUCACCAGCAUACAUCUCCAGACCUCCAUACUUCAAUGCAUUUAAAGAGAUUAGUCCUGGAACGUUGUUCCCUAUUAUUAUAAAUUGGUUUUUUUUUUGGUAAGUAUUAUUAUUAUAAAUUGGUUGAUCCAUAGGUAAUCUAAAGAACUAAAUCUCCUUAAAUCUUAGGCUCUGCAGAUUCUCCAAAUACUUGCCAGAAGAACUAUUAUGUGAAAGCUUUGGAAGAACUUUUGAUUGAUGGAACUUCCGUACAUAUGAUUCAUUUCUGACAAGCCUCUAUUGAGUGACUUAAGAUUUUGAGUGCUUGCCAGUGUGAAAGUUUGAAUCAUAAAUCAGAUUUUAAUGGUCACUUGACUUCUCUUUUCUAUCUUGGAUUGGAUGGUGCUGCUAUUGAUAGCCUCCCAGAUUCUAUUGGAUCCUUAAAGAAACUUCGGAGCUACUUUUAAGAAAUCGUGAGAAUUUACUACGACUUCCUUAUUCCAUUGGGAAUCUUGAGUCGUUGGUAGUCAUGGAUUUAUCAAGCACCAAGAUUGCUAGAUUACCUAGGUUGGUCAAGCAUUUGAGAAAUUUGAAAGUGCUGAAGAUGGAGUUAUAGUGGGAUAUUUUCAGAAGUUCCAAUAGCCUAUCAAACAAUAGCCAAGGGAGUUGUAGCUGCAGUGUUGCGGAGUUUUGUAUCUCAAUCUGGGUUGAUGUCAGUAACUUAAAUGUAGUAAGAACAACGCAUUUCCCCUACCCGUGUCAAUGUUGCAACAGGCGUCAAAUGGAGAAUCACCAUCUCAUAUCUGUUCUAAUCAAUACCCUAAUCCUGAGUCCGUAUUGUGCAACUUCAAUGAGACUGCAUUUUUCCAUCAAACAUUGUUGUGGUUCCUUAGUCAUUGUGCUCGAGCUCUCUUAUUUGAAGGCUUAUCAUGCGAUAGUCAUGAUGUUAGUGGCAGUGCUUCCACAAGCCAAAAUAAUUCGUUUCUGUUUUUCAAAAUGGAUUCUCCACCAUAAAAGCUAAUUAUACUACAUUUGGCCGUGUGCUAAGGAGAAGUACUUACAUGCCUGUGUUUUAUGAUGAUCAUUUUCUUUCUAUUUUUCUUCUUUGCCACUGAGAAUGGUGAUCCGUGGGUGAUUUUUCCUGAGGAAACCUCCAAAAUGUAGCUGGAACAAGAAUGCAUCAUAGGGUCAUCUUGUCAUCUUGAACUUUUGCUCUAAUGAGGACAGUACAUGUAGACAAUAACUAGAAAUAGAGAAAGUGAAAAGACAUGGAAACUCUUCUUGUCGAAGGGAGGACAUGCAGAGUGCUUUCAGGUUAUCCUUUAGAAUAUGUUAACAACAUGGAUUUCAAGUAUGGAUACUUACUGUUUCAUGAGAAAUAUUGGAGCAUCUUGAAUUACCUUUGUUGUCAGAGACUCUGGUCACGUGGACACCUUAAAAAUUUCUGCAUUCCCUUCAAGCAAACGGCCUUUAGACGUCAAGAACACCGUCUGUCAUGACAGCCUCUAGCCACGCAAACUCCACGAAAUUUUCUGAGCGACUAUAGUUUGGCCUCUGCUCAGAGUGACGAAUAUGUGCAUAAAAGCUCCACACGGUCGAAAUAAACUACAUUAGUAAAACCUUAUUAGCAGUAGAUUCAUUUAAUUGCGAACUAUUCUUUGAGAAGAUCUUCGACACUUGCGUUUAGCUGUGUCAAUGAAUGUAUAGACUAGUAAUCUAUAUAGCUUAUGCUGGAGUAACCUCACUUUAUGAGGGAUAGUUCCAUUACAGUAGUACAGGAAGAUGAAUCGCUCCUCUGUGUUGAAGAUGACUUAAAAGCAUGAAACCCUGCAAAGCAAGUCGAGUCUCUUGAAUGAAGUUGGGAUUUCAUUUUCCUAUUGAUAAUACACGUUUGGAGUUUUAAUAAAUAUAAUGGACCGCAAAGAAGUUUGUUCAAUGAUAAAGGGUCCAAGAACCUUGUUAAACGAAACGAUUAGCAAAUUUCAUGAAGUUAACCUCGAAACCGAAGUCCCAUCCCCUGAUGUCAACAUCUGCCAUAUAAAGAGAAGGUAUGAUCAUGCAAGAAGAUGAGGAAGAACAAGAAACCAUCAAUUAGAAGUUCAAGACCUAUAAAUACUAGAACUAAAAGGAGGAUGAAGGAAUGCUCAACCUUGCUAAACUCUUAUCUGACUUUUCAUCUAGUCUUUCAUUUGGGUCCUUCACGAUAUCAUAUGACUUUAGUCCUCACUUCUGUGUUAGGAUCCCUUUGUUUGAAAGAGAAAACUAUUUUUGAAAAAUUAUUUUUAGCUUUUCGGUAUUUAAUAAAUGGAAACUAAUCGAUACAAAAAAAAAGUUUGUAUAGGAUUUGAAAACAACAAGCUUAGAUUAAGGGAAAAAUGACUUCGCCUUCUCAUAAGAUGAAAAUCACUUUUUCUCAAUUACGAUCAUUUUCAUUUAAAUGAAAAUUAACCAAAUCUUUGAAACUUGACCAUUUAUUCAACGAUAUGCUUAACAGGUAAGCUCAGGACACUAAUUUUUAUGUUCUAUUUCAAAUGCAUAGCAACUAUUUAAUUACACCUAAUGUAACUUUAGAUUACGUAGGAAGGUGAAACCGUUAAGUUUCAUGUGUCAUAAUGAAUAAGAGAGAGAGAGCAAAUCAUAGGAUGAAGCCAUCGCCAUCCCCAUUGCCGUACACGUGUCCCUUGUUACCUUCCCCUGGGCCUGAGAAUAAUGGUACUUAUGCCGAGUGGGAUUGCGGUAAUGAAAGCAUCUUUACAAGAUGCCCUCUGCUGAGAAUUGGCGGAAGGAUUCUGCAAAUGACGGCAUCGACAAGUGUGCGGUGUCGAGAGUCGUCUGCAUAGCGCCGAUGAUUGAUUAUUGUCAGAAUUUUGAGUGAAAAACAUUGGGGGAUAAGUGUAUCGUGUAUUACUUUUCAAUGAUCAAUGAUGUACAAUAUGAGUCCUAUUUAUAAUACAUAGGAUCAAAACUAUCUAAGGAAGAAAAAUAUACAGAAUAUAUGAAAAUAAUUUCCUAAUACAUAAUAUUCUAAUUUUCUAACAAUAAACUAAUCAGCAUCAAUUAAGAUCAACAUAAAGAUCAAUUCCAUGCAGCAAGAUCAAUUAGCUGGCAACGGUAUCUUCAACAAUUAUCUUCGAAAGACACGAAUCUUUGAGUGAUCUCUCUCGUGUCACAUGCCUGCUGCGCCUGUCACAAUAUUAGAUUAGCCCUGCCAAAAAAGCAACGAAAGAAAUGAUGCCAUCUACCCUUUCGAAUAAAUCAUGUGUUAGCAGCCUCACCAUCCGCUUUGUCUUUUGCUCUUAUUCUCUAGCAUCUUUUCCCUAAUGACGCGGACCCAAAGACCUGGCAAUACUAAAAUAAGCCAGAGUCAUUGUUAUGCGUAGACAAUCUUGAUCCAAAACGGUUUGCACGUAAUUAACAGGAUUUGAACGGUCAUAUAUGUUCCUGAACUAAAAAUUGUUAGCGCUCUAAUUAAAUGUGCUAAAUCUUUAUUCUUGUAUUCUACAUAUGUGAUUUUCUAUAUCAACAUCUAGCAUGAUGUUUUUCUUUAGCUCUCUCGUUGACUAGAUUGAUGUAAAGUAACUUCUACACAAAUAUUGAUUUUUUAUGCCCUUCGAGAAAAUUUAAACAUCCAUAAUCAAUUGGGUAAUCACUAAUAAAAAAGACAUCGAUGUUUAAUUGUGAUCAAUUUCGUACGAAUAGAAGCACAAAUUCUAUAGCUCAAAAGCACAAAUUCUCCAUCACAUCUCACAUUUAUGCUUCCAAACAUUGUGAGCCCAAUUGCUGUCAUUUGAGGCACCCUUUCCUACGGUCCCCGCAAGGAAGAAUUAUGAUCUUUUAUAGAUACUAGACCUAUCAAAAGAAUGGAUCGGGUUGAAUUGUGUCAGGUCGAAAAUGAUUCGACCUAAAUCAAUCAAAUUAAGCUAUUUGACCCAUUUUAUAUUCAAUGCAAUUUAGUAAUUCAUACUUAAUCCCUAUUUGAUCUAAAUCCAACCCAGCUCGACUCAAAAUUCAACUUUAGCAACAUUUCUCUUUAAAUGAUCAACUUUGAAGAAGGUGCUUUAUGGAUUGAUUUGUCGAGUUAGCGAGGGGACCUUGGGAGGUCAGGUUAUGGAAGGGGCAUGAAGGUGGUGGUGAAAGGUUGGGUUUCCUUGAAGUGCAAUUCGCAACAAUAGAGUGAAUCCGCAAGACCUGAUGAUGAUGAAAGUAGAGCGCGAGUCAUGAAAUCAAACAGGGAGAGAGAAGAUAAUGGUGAAGAAAGAUUAAAGUAGGCUAAGUCUAGCCUAUCUAUUAAAUGAAUUGAAAGUGGGAUUAUAACAAACCCGUUAAAACCCCUAUGUUUUGGGCUUUUGACUUUAUAAACCCUACCAUCAUCUUCUUCUUCUGCUAGUAUUGCCAUGUCUGGCCCAAAUAAAGGUCCUGUAGGCGCAAUUCUAAUGACAUGCACGUAGACUCACCUUGACUCACCUACUCUAAUUCCCGGAGGCGCGAAUCUAGUGACAUAUGCACGUAGACUCACCUACUCCUCCUCUUCUUCUUCUUCUUCUUGAAGGAGGGGCAUACAGAGAUUUCGAUGGUUGGACCGUCUAAUGAACCGGGACAGAAAGAGGAAGAUUUGGAGAAAGAGGAAUUCAAGAAAGAAGGCAAGAAAUAGCAUAAGGGGAUAGUUAUCCAAAAAGUAUUAAAUUUAUUGUACAGUGAUCAAUUCAAUCAUUAUGUUUGUAAUUUGGUCUAUUUAGUCUUAAACUUUUUGAGAGUUUUUCAAUAUAAUUCACGUGGCUAAUUUUGGUAGGAAAUUGCUAACAUGGCGAUCCAGUCAAUGUCAGCUUACCUACAUGUCGGCGUUAAUGUAGAUGAUUUUUAAAUUUUUUUUUAAUUUUUUUUAAUUUUCCUAUUUUUUAAAUAUUUUUUUUUCAUUUUUUUUUCUCGUUGAGGCCUUGGCAACCCCGAUGAAUAAAAUAAAAUAAAAUAAAAUAAAAUAAAAUAAAUUGGAAAAAUUUAAAGCCAAAUUGAUCAUGAACCGAAGUUAUAGGUUUGGUUUGGAUCGUGACUUGACUUGGGUUCAGAAUUUUUUCAAAAUUUAUAAUAAUUCGAUUUAGGAUGAAAGCACUUUGAAAGCAAAUCAAACAGAAACCAAAGCAUCCUAAAAAUAGCUAAGAGCCUCGAAGGAUAAUGCGUGUUGUGGAGUGGAAAUGUGGAUGUGGAAGUGCAAGUCCUGGCAUCGGAUAGUGCUCGUAACAAGGCUAGUCCUCGUCCUAAACCCUGAUAAGUCUUAAGCCGGUCUUUCGAUAAUUAGUGCAUAUAUGUGCUGGUAGACAAAAAUGACAGAAGAAAUGUAUUCAGAUUAACGUUACUUCAUGCUCCUAUGGAUUGUCAAAAUCGUUUGCGUCUGUGGCAUCAUUCUGGAGAACUUAGGCCCUGCAUGGCUGCACCUUAUUUCUGUUCCCAGGAACAAAAAUUUCUGUUUUUUUGUUCCUGGGAACAAAAAAGGAACAUAAACGCGUUUGUGUGCGUUUCUGUUUCUUUUUUGUUCUUUUGUUCCCAGGAACAAAAAAGAAACAGAAACGAGAAACACAAAUUUUGUGUUUCUCGUUUCUGGAACACAAAUGAGAAACACUUUUUUUUUCUUUUUCUUUUUUCUCUUAUUUUCUUGUUCUUCUUUCUUUUGGCCGGUCGCCGGNNNNNNNNNNNNNNNNNNNNNNNNNNNNNNNNNNNNNNNNNNNNNNNNNNNNNNNNNNNNNNNNNNNNNNNNNNNNNNNNNNNNNNNNNNNNNNNNNNNNGCUGCAAUAUCUUAUUUUUUUCUAUUUCUGUUCCCUGGAACAAUUUUUAAACAGAAACACAACCAAACGCGCCCUUAAAUGCACCUUCAAACCUAGCCCAGGCCAUGGUGGGAGUUUUAAAGAAGGGUUGUCAUUGGGAGAAGGAAGGGAGGAGAGGUGUGCAACGUGCUCGCCCUGCCUCUUUCGGACAGUUCUUGGAUAGUUGUCAGUUAAUGGACCCAGAGAGUAAGGGAUGCUGCUUCACGUGGUCGAAUAAUAGGGAUGGGAUGGCAAAGGUUUGAGAGAGAAUUGAUCAGGCAGCAGCGAAAAAGAACCGGAAAGCUUCCUUCCCAAACGCUGAAAUCUGGGCUCUUCCUACAGAGGGCUAUCUUAAUUUGCUCUAAUUGAACCACCCAGGAGGAAAGAGGAGUUUAAGUUUGAACAGUUUUGGCAGGAACAUUACGAGCGUCCAGGUUUAAAAGUAAAGCAAUGCAAUGAGACUACUGAUUCUCCCUAUAAAAUUAAUAGUCUCCUUAGCACUAACAUCCGAGAGUAGAAAGAAGUUCCAUAAUGCUAGUAAGAAGAUUGAAAGAUUAAAAUAACAGCUUACUCGGUUGGUAAAAAUCAGAGUAGACCAGCUUCAUAGGGAGUGACAAAAAUCUAUUCGAGUGAGGAUCGACCAGCUUCGGAGGCAAAAGGAGCAGUAUUGUCAUCUGAGUCUAGGGUUUGAUAGAUGAAAUCGCAUGAUCGUGAUACCAAACCCAACCUCAACCAUCUAAAAGACGUCAACUAAAUAAGAUUUCUCCAUGACAAGACACUGAAGGGACUUGGCGUGCUGCGACUGAAAGACUGAAAGGAAUGAUGACCAAGUUAACGAGCGAUUCGCACUUGACAUGGCAGUUAUAAAAUUCUUGACGCGAUUAUAGAUCAAUGCCCUAAGGUGGUAUCAUUUGAGAUGGGCACCUGAACUCACUAGACCUCGACUGAUGGAAGAUAUCCGGUUGGCUGUUUUCGGGAUGGGAGCAGCUAAAGCACCGGGAUCAGACGAAAUGAGCGGAUUGUUUAACCAAAGAUACUGGGAGACUGUUAAAGCAAAAAAUAUUCUGUUAACACGAGUUAUUUUCAUAUGUCGAUAGGAGAUCGAACCAAGCUUAGAUUACAUUAGUUCUCAAAGUGCCUUCGCCGAGUGUAUAGCUCAAUGGCCUCUGCAAUUUUGCAUGUAAGGUGAUAGCCAGAGUAUUAGCUCACCGAUUAAAAUCAUUAAUGCCUCAUUUGAUUUUUCCAAUUUUAAAGCGCCUUUGUUCCGGGGCCUAAACUUUAAGAUAAUUUUAUGUCAUGCAUGAAGUGUUUUGUGAGGUUGUCCCACACCAGUUGUGGAAGGAGUUGAGGAUCAGUUUAUAAGUGCAAGGGAAAAUUUUAUCAUAUGAGCUGACUUGUGGGGAUGAGAGAGGCUCAAGUUCACCUAACAAUUUUGCAUCAUUUACGAAGGGGGCAAAGAAAGAGGAAUUUUGAUGUUUUGCUCAAGUUAGACACUUCUCAUGGCUCGUUUGAUGAAGCCGUUCUGCUCUAUAUGGUUCAACUAGAUUAUGCAUUGCUAGACUGAUGUUUCUUGAUGUUUCUUUUGGUGUUAAGUUAAUUGGAGAGCUAGUCCCGUAUUUCGUACCUACGCGAGGUUUACGACAAUGUGAUCCAUUGCCUCCUUAUCUGUUUAUCCUAGUUCCAUAUUCCCUAUCGAUCUUAAUCAGUACUGCAAUUCAAGAAGGAAGGCUUAAAAGGUAUAAAUUUGACAUCGAAUGCCCGUUUUUUGCCAUUUAUUAUUUGCUGAUGACUCCAUCUUCUUCCUUGAGAGGUACGUCAGAGAAUGGUAGGAGCUAUUGAACAUUUUGAAUCGAUAUUGUUAUGCAUCUGCCAAACUAUUAAUCUAAACAAAUAUGGGGUUCUCUUGAGGAAAGGUUGUCCAGAGUCAUCAGAAAAAUGUUGCAGAAACUCUCAAGGUCCCGCUUUUAGAAGAUGCAGGAAGAUAUUUAGUAGUGUCAUCUAGGCGGGGAAGAUUCAGAAAAGUAGUUUGCUAACGGUUUAUUUCCAGAAGACUUGCAUCUCAUUUAGUUCUCAAUUUUCAUUGACUUUUUUGAUUAAAUGACAGUGCAAACGAUGUAGCCUUGUCAGGUAAGCAUCAAUGAGAAGGAAAAUGAUUUUACCAGGGUCACUCCCCUGAAAAAAAUUCUGCAUACGACACCAACUCCCGGAGUAGAAAUUGGAAAAAAAAAGUUUAUAUAAAAAAAAAAUGAAAGUUUGAAGCAUAGAGAAGGAGAUGACCAUUGUGGGUGCUUAGGACCUGAAUGACUCAGGGAAUCCCUUCUAGUAGGAGUGUAAUAUGUCCAGCACCACAUUGUUCUGUUUCUCCGCCGGCUCUCUUUCCAUUGAUAUGAAGAAUCCUCACCUGCUCCGCCUUCUAUGCUGAAUCCAAGAAUUGUCGGCUUUGAACACAUGUACGGUCAAAGUCUCCUUCCAAUCGACCAAACCUUGCGUGAACGACAAGACCUUGGAAUCUAAGGGAAUCUGCUUGAAGACGAGGAAGUUAACUAGAAAGGUAAAUUCUAAAGGGUUAAUGCCAUCAAAUAUUUCAAAUUGGUACCUUAGCGUACCAACUUCUGCUUAUGACUAUGUUGCGGGCCACGCCAAGGUUAUCAUCUUGAUUCUUUUUUUCUUGGGGGGUUAUGUCUGCGUGAGGACCGUUGAUUUUGGCUGGUAUAUGCUUAGCUCUGCGUCUUGGUGCAAAUUUUUCUUUGGACAGCAAUAAAGGAUUAACUGGAACAUUCUUUGUUUAUCUUGAUUUGUUCUUCAAAUUGGCCGGAUCUCAUCUUCUUUCGAGGACAUCGUCAAUGGAAAAAAUUACCAAAAAAGUCUUAAAUAUAUUACAAUUAUAUCAAUUCAGUGUUUUUUUUUUUGGUUAUCUAAAGGUCUGAUGGAUUUUAAGUUUGAGCCUGUCGACCACACUACAUCGAUAUUUUUUUCAACAUAAGAAGCCAACCUUCAUCCCUAAUUUCGUUCUCUAGAUCAAAGGAAGAAGGUGUUGCUACAUUAGUAUGCUUUGAUACCUUUACCUAAGGAAAUUGUCAAUCGUCAAGAGAGAUCUCAAGUCUAAACCCGUUAACAUAUUUAAUUGGAUUUACCCUCACUCAAAAGUUCAAACUAAGAAGUUAUAAACUUACUAGGAUAUUUUAACUCAUCUAUUUCACAUUAAUUUUCUGAUGUGAAACAUUUUUUUAAUGCAUUUCACGGCAGAGGAAUUGAGAAUUUAUUUUCAAAGGAUUCUUGAAAGCACCUAUUAUUGCAAUUCUUUUGCUGGGAAGGGAAAUCCUCCAAUAGCGACAUUACAAACGAUGUAAUUUGUUGAGGUCCCACCAUCAAGAACUGUUAUUCUUGUGAUUGUAAUUCGUCGUAGCAAAAGUCAAAUAAGGGCUAGUUCUUUCGCUCAAUGUAAAAGUUGUGGUCACAGGAAUAUUAAUUGCGGAAAUAGUCGUAUCACUUUUAAUUUUCUUUAUACAAAAAUUGAAGAAGGUUACAUAUUUUACUUAAAUUGCUGGGAUAACCUCCCUAAGCUAUUUCGAGCAUGCAAAAUAAUCUAAUAUUACUAAGAAGCGCUUCAUUGUUUGAUAGAUGCACAUUGUGUCAAAGAUGGGGCCCUUGAAAUGGGAAUGCCAUGCUAUUUAUCAAGGACAAACCUGAUAUCGGGAGCCAAGGUGUCUAAAAGUUAGAUGAGCAUGAAUAGAAGGCGAACGAGUCCGGUAGAACGAGGAGUUCACAGGAACUUGACUGGACCAGGCAAAGAUUAACAACUGAUGAGAACUAAGAUCGCCAAUAUGCUUGAAAUGACUAAAAGCAUGGUAGGCAAACAGUCACAUUUCAGCGUAAAGCAUGAAAACCUUGGAAGAACCGUCGGCCGAGGCAACUCCUAAUAUCAAUUCGUGUAGAAGACGUAUCAAGUGCUUCUCGUAAAAAAACUGGGGUGAAUUUUUGGAUAAAAGAAAACAUUUUGAUAAAAAGAAACUUCACCUGAAUAAGAAAACCUAGACCACUUUUGCAUUAACUUGAAAUUCAAAUUAGAGGCAAAUGACUAGUUUCAGAUUCUGGAGGCUCAUAGUAGAAAGCCUGGAGUUGAAUCACGGCAAUUUACAUUUUUUGUGCGAACAGCCAGAGGAUCAAAUGAUGGACAGAAGUAGAAAUAUCCAUUUAGGGAAAGUGUAUUUGUGAUUUUCUCUAAAAGCGCUUUCUUGCUUAUUGCAAUUAGUGAUCAGAAACUGUUAUAGUGUGAUAAAGGCACUUGCAAUUUCAUAAUUUAUCUACUAGCUUUUGAGCUAAAGCAACACCUCCUUCUAUAUGUAAAUUUCUGAAGAUUAUUGGUGGAAACCAACUUGGUUUAAGGCUGUUAAUUCGGAAAAGUGGAUGCAGACUAAUAUAAACUUUAUUUUUUUGGGUUGAUGACUUAAACAUUGUAAAUUUGCUCGCAUUCUUCUAAAUCUCAGCGCUUUAUCUGUUUGAUAGAAAACCCACCAUGCAUUAAUUGUUUCUGCUUCUGCCAAAAUUUAUUUGCAAAAGAAAAUUGAAUUAUUUAAGACCUAUUCAUCUCUCUAAAUUGUUGUGUGAGUCUUAUAGAAAGGGGGAAAAAAGUAAAUGGAGAGAACUUGACGCCUUAAAGUUUGGGAUAAAUGUGUAGCGUGGGAUUGCGCAAUUUUCUGAUCUUGUCUCGAAAGACUAAUUAAAUAUAUUUAAUAAAGAUAUAUUCAAUUUUUAAAAUAACGGUUGGGCAUGUACCAAAGAUAAUCAAUGAGUUAGAGUUUAUUUUGCAUCAACUAUUUAAGAAAUCAGCAAGGACCUUGAUACUUUUUCCCAAGACCAAGAAUUCACGAGUGCCUUUGUAUGGUUGGGCGAGGGGGGCUGCCACAGGACGGACGCUGCUUUCCAGUCGAGCAAAAGAUGACCUUAUGACAGUCUUUUUUUAAAUGUUUUUUUUUCUCUGUCGUCUGGUGUAUUCCACGCAUAGAAGUCCUUCCCGUCAACGCGCUAAUAACGUGGAAUCGCUUCUGCAGAGCAGGCCAGACCUCGUCGGUGAGUGAGCGAGAGAGGGAUGUGAUGGCCCCCAACUCGUUUGUGCUUCGUUACGUCUGCCUGCGUUUUAUAGAUAGGAGAAGGCGGUCCAAAAAAAAAAAAAAAUAUUAACUUCUUGUUUCCAAGAAUAAUUUUUAGAGAUAUAUUUUUUUCUUUUCUAUUUUUCUUUUGUUCUUCUUCCUUGUUGCGGUCACCACCAGCCACUUGCCAAUCGUCAACCAUCUCCUGCCGCUCGCGGCCACCGUCGGCAAUCGAUCGCCCACAACUGUUGGUGAUAGUCGCCGCUGCCCGUAGCCCAUUAGCCACCGUCCACAGCCCACUAGCCAACGACUUCCACCGUCCACCGGCAGCCUACCAUCGCCAACCGCCACACGACCGCUACCUGCCGCUGCAUGACCACCAAUCGUCAUUGACCACCGUUGCAUGACUGCCGCCCACAGCCCACCGGUCGCUACCCCCUUCCAUGGCUGGUAGGCUGUGGGUGGCAAUCUUGCGGUGGCGGUUGGCGGCAACGGUCAACGAUCGUGCAACAGUAGUGCGAUGAUCGCACGAUGGUCGUGUGGCGGUCUUGCGGCGGUCGGCGGCGAUGGUUGGCGAUGGUGCGGCGGUGGUGUGAUGGUCACGUGAUGGUCGUGCGGCGGUCGUGCGAUGGCCAUGCGAUGGUCGUGCGACGGUCGUGCGGUCCAUGAGUAAAAAGAAAAAAUAAAUAAAUAUAAAAAUUUAUAAUUUUUUACCAAACGCGUUUCUAUUCUUUUUCUAUUCCAAAAAUAAAAAUUUCGUAUAAUUACCAAACACCUUAUUUUGCUUAGAAAUUAUUCCUGGAGUAGAAAUAGAUAAAAACUAUUUCUGAAAAAAAAUAGUUCCUUGUAAUAGAAAUGUUGCAAUGUGUACCUUAGAGGUCCCGAUACUCGCAAGAUAUUUGCAAAUUACCUCUAUAAUGGCCUGAUUAGUGCAGGGAUUGCUGUCUUUAUAGACGAUAUCGAUCUUGGUAUUAGAGAAAAUAUCACCGAUGCAUUGGUUCAAUCCAUAAAGCAGUCCAAGAUAUCAAUACCUAUUCUCUUGCAGAAUUAUGCAUCCAGUAAAUAUCGUCUCUGGAGCUGGCCCAAAGGGUGGAAUGCCAAGAAGCAGGCGCUCAAAUGAUCAUGCCCAUUUUCUAUGAUGUUAGCCCCGCUGAUUUAAAAUACCGACGUGGAUGUGUGGGGAGGCAUGAGGACCGUGUUGACCGUAAGGACAUCAAUAAAUGGAAGCAGGCUCUCGAAAAGAUUGCUGAGAUGAAGGGGCAUGAUCUGGGAAAUACAAACAUAGGGUAAUCAACUUUUUACUGUCCUUUUAAUGUAAUUCGCUUUAGCUCUACGAGAAUUUGGUGAAGCAAAAUGUUGUUGAAAUCAUUAAUUGGAUGGCACUAGAAUUGAUACUGAGGUAAGUGUACUUUCCAUGCCCUUCUUGUUGCCCACUGCAUCGUCCGCUGUUGGUCAAUAUUUGGUACGAUUUAACUGGAUUAUUUCCUUUGUAAUUUUCAUAAACUGUUGUUAGUUAUUUUUUAAUCUCAUCACGACUCCUUAUUUUCAUCAUCACGUUUGGCAGUUAUGGUGCCCACUAAACAGGCAGUCACAUAUAAAUCAUUCUUCUUCAACCGCUUUAAAAUAUCUGAAACAACUUUCCCUACAACUGGUGAGCUGUGGGCGACAAUCUUGCGGUGGCGGUCGGCAGAAGGCGGCAACGGUUGGUGAUGGUGCGGCGGAAGUGUGGCGGUGGUGCGAUGGUCGUGUGAUAGUCGUGUGAUGGUCGUGCGGCGGUCGUGCGGUCCAUAAGUAAGAAGAACAAACAAAUAAAUAUAAAAAUUUAUAAUUUUUUACCAAAUGCGUUUCUAUUCUUUUUCUAUUCCAAAAAUUUUGUAUAAUUACCAAACACCUUAUUUUGCUCAGAAAUAGUUCCUGAAGUGGAAAUAGAAAAAAAAUAUUUCUGAAAAGAAAUAGUUCCCUAUAAUAGAAAUGUUGCCAUAUGCACCCUUAAAGGUCCCGAUACUCGCAAGAUAUUUACAAAUUACCUCUACAAUGGCCUGAUUAGUGCAGGGAUCGCUGUCUUUAUAGACGAUAUUGAUCUUGAUAUUAGAGAAAAUAUCACCGAUGCAUUGGUUCAAUCCAUAAAGCAGUCCAAGAUAUCAAUACCUAUUCUCUCGCAGAAUUAUGCAUCCAGUAAAUAUCGUCUCAUGGAGCUGGCCCAAAGGGUGGAAUGCCAAGAAGCAGGCGCUCAAAUGAUCAUGCCCAUUUUCUAUGAUGUUAGCCCUGCUGAUUUAAAAUACCGACGUGGAUGUGUGGGGGAGGCCUUCAGUAAGCAUGAGGACCGUGUUGACCGUAAGGACACCAAUAAAUGGAAGCAGGCUCUCGAAAAGAUUGCUAAGAUGAAGGGGCAUGAUCUGGGAAAUACAAACAUAGGGUAAUCAACUUUUUACUGUCCUUUUAAUGUAAUUCGCUUUAGCUCUACGAGAAUUUGGUGAAGCACAAUGUUGUUGAAAUCAUUAAUUGGAUGGCACUAGAAUUGAUACUGAGGUAAGUGUACUUUCCGUGCCCUUCUUGUUGCCCACUGCAUCGUCCGUGUUGGUCAAUAUUUGGUAUGGUUUAACUGGAUUAUUUCCUUUGUAAUUUUCAUAAAUUGUUGUUCGUUAUUUUUUAAUCUCAUCACGACUCCUUAUUUUCAUCAUCACGUUUGGCAGUUAUGGUGCACUCACAGGGAAAGUUGUUUCAAAUAUUUUAAAGCGGUUGAAGAAGAAUGAUUUAUAUGUGACUGGCUGUUUAGUGGCAUGGAACCCUACGUGUGGGAGGUUAUGAAGAAGCUUGGUGUCGUCUAUGACAAUGACCAAGUAAUCGCAGUACAUGACAAAGAUGUAGGUGUGCUUGGGAUACGAGGCAUGCCAGGGAUUGGCAAGACUAUCCUUGCAAAGGUUGUGUAGAACCAAAUCCAUCGUCUCUUUCAAUGUUGUAGCUUUCUUUCUAAUAUUCGAGAAAAUGUUGCAUUCGAUAGACUCAUCGUGGGCCUACAAGAAAAGUUAAUAUCAAACCUCCAAUGGAAAGAACCAAGAAGGCUAAGUACUUGUGACGAAGGUGCCAAAGCCAUAGCAAAUUCAUUUAACGAAAUGAAAGUUCUCAUUCUCCUGGACGAUGUGGAUCAUUUUCACCAGAUUAAGCAUUUAGCUAGGAAACUCAGUUGGUUUGGCCCAGGAAGCAGGAUUCUCAUGCUAGUUGGAGAUAUUAAUGUUCUCGAUGGUUACGGAAAUGGAGUCUGGGUCAACAUCGGUAACUUAAAAGUAGCAAGAACUAGGCAUUUCCCCUACCCUUGUCUUGUGUUGCAACUAGCGGCAAAUGGGUAAUCGCCGUCUCAUGUCUGUUCUAAUCAAUACACCUAUCCCGAUUCUAUAUUAUGCAGCUUCCAUUUCCAUCAAAUAUUGUUGUGCUUUCUUAUCUACUUUGCUCGACCUCUCUUAUUCGAAAGCUCAUUAUGCGAUAGCCAUAUGAAGUUAGCGCUUCCAUGCUUCUGUUCUGUGUGAUCAUUUUCUUUCUCUUGCUUUCUUCUUCGCUACUAAGAAUGGUGAUCCGUUGGUGAUUUUUCCUAAGGAAGCCUUCAAGAUGUAACUGGAACUAGAAUGCAUCAUAGGGUCAUCUUGUCAUCUUAAACUUCUGCUCUAAUGAGGACAGUACAUGUGGACCAUAACUAGAUAUGAAGAAAGUGAAAGAACAUAGAACUCUUCUUGUAGGAGAAAGGAAAUGCUGGGUGCUUUCAAUUUAUCCUUUACAAUAUGUUGUUCGAUAUGGAUUUCAAGUGCGGAUAUGCAUCGGGUCAUGAGAAAUAUUGGAGCAUCUUAUAUAUUACUUUUGUCUAUUGUUAAAGAAUCUGGCCAUGCAGACACCUUAAAUAUUUUCGUGUUCCCUUCAAGCAAACAGCCUUUGGCUGCGCCAUUCCUCCAAAUUUUCUUAGUGACUAUAGUUUGGCUUUUGGCUUUUGGCUUUUGGCUCUGCUCAAAGCAAUAAAUAUGCACAUAGAAGCUCUACACAGUCGAAAUAACUGCAUAAGUAUAACCUUACUAGCAGUAGCAAUGGAUUCAUUUAAUUGCAAACAACUUGAUGAUGAGAUCUUUAGCACUUGCAUUUAGCUACAUUAAUGAAUGUACUAAUUGUACAAUUCUAUAUAGCUUAUGGCGGAGCAACCUCACUUUAUCAUGGACUGUUCCAUAUAAGAGUACAUGAAAAUGAAUCGUUCCUCUGUGCCGAUGAUGACUUGAAAAAUGAACCUUGCAGAUCGAGUUGAGUCUCUUGAAUGAAGUCGGGAUUUCAUUUUCUCGUUGAUAAUACGUGUUGGGAGUUCUAAUAAACAUAAUGCACCGCGUGGAAGCUGGUUCGACAAUAAAGGGUUGAAGAACCUUGUUAAACGAAGCGAUAAACAAAAUGUCAUGAAGUUAACCUCGAAACCGAACUUCGUCCCAUCCCUUGGUGUCGACCUCUGCCGUAUAAAUAGAAGGUAUGAUCGUGCAAGAAGAUGAGGAAGAUCAAGAAACCAUCAAUCGGAAGUUCAAGACCUGUAAAUUACAGGAACUAAAAAGGAAGAUGAAGGAAUGCUCAAUUGCGCCCAAACCCUUACCGACUUUUCAUCCGAUCUUUCCUCAGGUCUUUUGUAAUACCUCUCAACUUUAAUCUCCACUUUUAUGUCAGGAUCCCUCUGUUUAAAAGGAAAAUUAUUUUUGAAAAUUAUUUUUGUAACUUCUUGAUAUUUCAUAGAUAAAAAUCUAAUCAAUUUACAAAAAAUAUUUACAGGAUCUAAAAUGGCGAGCUUAGAUAGAAAGAAAAACAACUUUACCUUUUGACAAGUCACUUUUCCUAAAUCACCGUAGUCACAAAAUAAAUGAAGAUUAACCAUUUUCUUUGAAAAUCCUCGUUAUGAAAUUAUCGGUGGUUGUACUGUAGUCGAAAAAAAUGUGGUUGCUCCAUUCGCGUCAAUUUUUUCUUUUUUUAACCUUCAGCGGAGAGAUUUAUUCCACAAGCAAAUUUAUAUAUUAAUGAUUUUGGAGAUUACUUUGCCCAAUAAAAAGAUUUUAUAGUCCUUCAUAACGACCUCCGCGAGUUGGCUCAUUCACAUCGCAGCCGUCCAUCCUCCCCUGCGGAACUGUCGGCCUCCGGUGCUCGCCUCCGGAACCGCCACAAUCGCCGCCGCCGCCGACGACAGGUAUGUUCUCUCUCUCUCUCUCUCUCUCUCUCUCUCUCUCUCUCUCUCUACACCGAGCUCAGCAUGUCGCAGUUCAGGGGCUCCGGUCACCUGAAAACUCUGGGCGAAAUCUCGUAGAGCCAGCGACGCGCGGGGUUGAGAAAUGGAGCGGCGAGCUUGCUUCGAUUCGGUUUCCAGCUUCGUUUUUUGUUAGGGUUUUCAGGCGGAGUAUCGAGGGGGACUGUUGAGAUUGCGCUGCGGAAGAAGGUAUGGCGAAGUGCCAAUGUGUAGUGGAGAUGCUGCGGGGUCAAGAAAGCAUCGGGCCGUGACGACGUUCGUGUCGUGGUAUUUUCAAACUGAUGAGCAAGAGAGCGAGUAUUGAGAUCGGGAAGAAUGGAUUUUGACGCGUGGGAUGCUUUCGUUCGGAGGCGGCGCGGCAAGAAUUGGUAGUUCGGUUUCGAUGUGCGAGCGAGCGAGCGAGCGAGCGAACGAAGAGAAGGUUGCGGAAGCAUUUCUCCGAGAGUGUGGGGGUGUUUAAUCGGAGGGCUUUUGGGUCGUGAAUGCUGAAUUUUCGUCGAGAGCUGUGUAGGGGGAGAGUUGGUUCGUUUGCUGUUGCCGUUAUCUUCAUCGAAUUGGACAAUUAGUUUUUUUGGCCUUUCCUUAUGAUAUGUUGAUUUUCUUUUGUGUUGUUUUACGCCAUGUUGUCUGUUAAUUGCUUUUUUUUUUGGCCUUUCCUUAUGAUAUGUUGAUUUUCUUUUGUGUUGUUUUACGCCAUGUUGUCUGUUAAUUGCUUUGGCGAGCCAGCUUGCCCUCUGACUUUAGGUUCAAUAUCUUUGGCUUUCGUGUUUAUAUUCAUCUUGGAAGUUCAGAAUUACUUUUAGUUUGCAAUGGAUCUACUUGUUUAUUAACCUAGUUUGAAUAGUGUGCCUGAUGUCCUCUGUCACGAUGAGGUGUAAUUUACAAAGCAAUGUCAUUUAUCGAAGAAUUUGACAUAGUUUUUUCAGUCUAUGGACAUGCUCGAAGCUCUCUAUCUUGCUUUCUCUUGCCCUUUGUUUUUUCUGUAAUUCCCAUGACUUGAUGUUGGCAUUCCUGUUGUUUUCUAGAUUGGACUGCUUCUUGUUUUAGGUAGAUUAAUUGGUUGGACAAUGUUUACAGUUGUUGACAUUAUUUGCCCGUCGCUUGCAAAUUUGACAGAACAAUUUGACAUGGGUGGCUAAUGUCUCGUGAUCCUUUUCUCUUUUUCCUUGACGGGAAACAUCUAUAUGUUGUAGCUUGGUCCACUGUCACAAUAUAUUACUUUUCAUGUAAACUAGCAAACAGUGAUCAUCUGUAAACUUACAUGUACAGUCCUGUAUUGCCUUAUGGCUGAAGAUUAAGUGUAUGUUAGCUUGCUUAUGUAGAUAAUGAACAGAGAAGGAGGAGCAGGAGCAGGACUAGGUAGUGGGAGCGGGCCUACAGCUGCUGCAGCUGCCCGGAAGCAGAAGACACUCCUACAAAGAGUUGAAAACAACAUUGGCAACAUUGUCAACAAUUUCAGUCAUCUUGUGAAUGUCGCCAGAGUAUGUAUACAUUUCUCCUUGCCAUCUUCCAGUCUGGAAAGCUUUAUCCCUCUCAGUAACAGUCAUAACUAUAGUUGAGAUUAUCCAUGCUUUUCCUUUGUGUGUGGCUAGGUGGAUCACCCUUGUCACUUAUUGACUACCANNNNNNNNNNNNNNNNNNNNNNNNNNNNNNNNNNNNNNNNNNNNNNNNNNNNNNNNNNNNNNNNNNNNNNNNNNNNNNNNNNNNNNNNNNNNNNNNNNNNUUGACUUGAUGCUGGACUUAGGUAUCGUGAAGUUAUGUCAAUGGAUAGGAGGGAAGGUUGCUUGGGCUCUUGUAAGCUGCUGAAAUUGGGAAAGACAUAUUGUUUCCAUGAUCUUGUUCUUCAUGAAUGGAGGAUUGAAAUUUUUUUAAUAUAUUCCAAGUGGAAAGAAAUCCAUUUUAGAUCUUAGAAGGCUGUUGUGAUGGACCUUUUGAUAAUGAAGAGUGGAGACCUAAUAUCAGAAAUUUUCAAGAUGUCGUGGUGAGGGGAUACAGAUUGAAAAAGUAUGGAUAAUAUUCAAAAUGUGGAUGUUUACUUCCUGAUACCAAUGCUUUCAAAAUUAUGAGCUUAGAUCAAGUAGAUGAUAAAAGUAAAGUUUGUCUUUGCCAUUCUAGUGAUUCAAGUAGCAUGUACACUCAGAGAGAUUUUUCUUUAUGAAAUGUGUGAAGAGGUAUUACUCUUAUUGAAAAAUAAAAGAACACUUGUUCUAUAUUUUUGUCUUCAAUUUGAAAUUUCCAAACUGGGAAGGGUUUGAUAUCUGAAGAGCAUCCAUUGUGGUAUUGACUCAGUCUUCUCACUUAUGGCAGGUGAAUGACCCUCCAGUCAGAAACUCACAAGAAGCUUUCAUGAUGGAGAUGCGUGCAGCAAGAAUGGUAAGAUUUGGACUUUAAUCUGAAGUGAGGCUUGGCCAUUUAAUUAUUGUAACCGACAAAAAAUAGUUAAUUCUGCUCACUAACUUAAAAAGCAGUUAAUGUUUGGCAUAUGUUUACCACAUGUCAAUUUGGUAAUCCUCUGCUGAAUCCAUGAGAGACUCAAAAUUUCAGGGCUAUGAGACAUCUAGAAAAUGGAUGUAGGAUUUCUUUUUCAUGAUAAUGGGAAUUUCAUUAUCUCAGAGAUUGCAUUUGCCACACAUGUAUUAGCAUUUAGCAAUAGCAAUAACCAUAAUGCGAAAUGACCCUCAAAAUCUGGAUUUUUUGUAUGGUUUAAAUGAACUUGAGGGAACACAAAUUGUCAAUCCAAAAUUAGUUACUCAAAUUGCAAAAUUCAGGUGGCUAAGUAUUAUUAACUUUUCAAGGAAUAUGAUGAAGUGGCGAGAGCAUCUUUCUAUAGUUCAAAUGAACUUGGGGGAAAAUAAGUGGCAUAACCUUGAGAUUAGUUACUUGAAUAGGUGAUGUGUGUGGUUAAGGACUAAAAACUUUUCAAGGAAUGUUAUUAAGCGGUGGAAGCAUCUACUUGUAAUGCUUCAGAAAUUUUAACCCUGGAUUGAUCUUUUUCUUUUACUUUCCAAAGCUUAUCAAAGAAGCAGCUUCUUUGUGCUCAUGUAUUUGUCUCCUCUGUCAUUUUGAUGCAGGUAUGCGAAAAAGGUUCAAGCGGCUGAUUCACUGUUGAAGGUGGUAUCGGAGCUGAAACAGACUGCCAUAUUUUCAGGAUUCGCAUCUCUAAAUGACCAUGUUGAACCGAGAAUUGUCGAGUUCAACCAACAAGCUGAAAAAUCGGAUCGUACGUUGUCUAAAAUUGCGGAGGAGGCAGCUGCCAGUCUCAAAGAGCUUGAAUCUCAUUACUAUUCUUCGUUGCAGAGGACGGCUGAUUCACUGCCCAAACUUGCUUGACCUUCAACAGCUACCCUGUGGCUUAUCAGUAUUGUGCCUUCAGCACUGCAAGAUUGAAGCUUCACAAUUUUCUAUGGUUAGAGGUCUGUCUGAAAUAGAACUCGAACACUGUUGCUUGGCAGAGACUGCAGGGACCAUCAGUCUUGGAGAUUUGAUGCGAUUGGAACUUCUGAAAAUAUCAGACUGCAAUGUGCGGACACUUGAUGGGCUGGAAAAUUUGACUCGUCUUAGAAAGCUUACUUUAGACAACUGUCAUUCAUUUACCGGAUUACCAGAUCAAGCAAAUCGUACAUUUGAAAUUGAUGAGUACAAUUUCCCAGAAGAACAAUAGUCGGCAGUUAUGUCACUCUCACCUAUGGUUAGAACAUUGUGGAAAUUGCUUCAAGAACGAUUCCAACUUCAAUGAAAAAUUGGAGGCUUUUCUAAAAGAUAGAUGAUGCACCAGUCGGUCUUUUUCUCUUUCGGCUAAGACACUGCCUGCAGUCAAAUUUCUUUGCAAUGUCCUCUCCACCUCGUGUGGGCUUGGAACUUCUCUGUUGGUAGGCCCGUCCUUGGGGGCUUGGACAGGCAAGUUUGUGCUUUGAAAUCUUUUGCCUGCUUUCGAUUCUAAUUUCUCAAUUGUUUCAUUUAUUUUCUAUUCUUUUAGUGUAAAAAAAAUGCAUAAACGGUAACUGGAGCACAGAAUCCAGCAUAAAUUACCAACUGAAAAGUUGAUAUUAGAUAAUCCAAUUGGCCAGUGCUUUGUGCAUGGAAACAUUCUUGGCAUUUUUUAUUUCUUUAUUGUUCGCUUGUUUUUGUCAUUCAGAAAAAGCUGAGGACAGAUUUAGUAGCAAUAUACCAGGUGGGCUGGGAUGGAUCCUCAAUAUCAGAGUGAUGAUUGGGCAAAGACUCCUACUUGGAGGAGGAGGAGAGAUGGCUGGCCAAUUUGUUUGAACGGGAGAUUUGUAGCCUUGAAGGCCGGUGGAUGCACGUUGAGAAGAUAAGCCAAUGUAACUCGAGUGCGGACGCAUGGAGUCGCACGCUGCGCCUUCCUUUUUGGGCUGAGGCUUAAAAGAUUGACAGAGGAGUAGCAGCUGCAGUGUUGCAGAGUUUUAACUCUCAAUCUGGGUGAUGUCAAUAACUUAAAAAAUAGUAAGAACGAUGCAUUUCCCCUACCCGUGUCGGUGUUGCAAUGAGCGUCAGAUGGGUAAUCAGUGUCUCAUUUCUGUUCUAAUCAAUACACCGAUCCCGAGUCCGUAUUGUGCAACUUCCAUCAGGCACUGCAUUUUUCCGUCAAACAUUGUUGUGCUGCAUCAUCCACUGUGCUCGCGCUCUUUUAUUCGAAGGCUAAAUAUGCGACAGUAAUAUGAAGUUAGCGCUUCCACAAGCCGAAAUAAUUCAUUUUGCAUUUUUCAAAAAGGAUUCUCCACCAUAAAAGCUUGUUAUACUACAUGUGGCCAUGUGACAAGGAGAAGAACUUACAUGCUUGUGUUCUAUGGUGGUCAUUUUCUCUCUUUCUUUCUUCUUUGCUACUGAGAAUGGUGAUCCGCGGGUGAUUUUCCUGAGGAAGCCUCCAAGAUGUGACAGGAACUGGAAUGCAUCAAAGGGUUAUCUUGUCAUCUUAAACUUCUGCUCUACUGAGGACAUUACAUGUAGACUAGAUAUAGAGAAAGCAAAAAUACAAGGGAACUCUUCUUGUAGCAGAGAGGAAAUGUAGAGUGCUCUCAGGUUAUUUUUUUAGAAUACGUCGUUGGAUAUAGAUUUUAAGUAUGGAUAUUUACUGUGUCACGAAAAAAUAUUGGAGCAUCUUAAAUAUAUCCUUGUCGUUAGAGACUCUGGCCACGUGGAUGCCUUAAAAAUUUCUGCAUUCCCUUCAAGCAAAUGGCCUUGGUCACCAAGAACACUGUGUGUCGUGAUGAGGAGUGAGUAUGGUUUGGAUGGGUGAUUCCUACCUUAGAAUCGGGAACAGCGCACUAAGGAUCGGACCGGAGGUCCGAUUGAGCCCAUGGAACCAAUUCGGUCCGAUUUUCUGGUGGGUCCAUGAAAUCGAUUCACAAUCCCUCUAAAAUUGCAUUCAUCAAUUAAUAUCAUGAUGAAUCUAAUUUUUAUCAGAAAAUUUGCCUAUGAUACGAGUUAGGGAAAAUGAAAAUAGAAUUCGUGACAAGAAUGAUAUCCACACGCACGGCCUUUCAUUAGCCUCGGAAUAGGGACUACAUAUUAGCCAUCAAAUUCCUUCUCAUUCUUUGACUCAUAUCAUGGAAAAUUUUAGAGUAGUAGAAUUUUGAUACACAGGUUCCACAUUCUAGGAUUGAUCAGAACAUUUUUAGUUUUAAAGAAUCAUACCAAAGAGAAAGAAAGAGAGGAGAGAGGUUCUAGGGUUUCAUGACAAAUUACAUAAUAUUAUUUUUGGAGAGGGUUCGUUUUGCCCCAUGACGUUUAUGUACCUUGCCUUAUAUAGGUAUAAAACAAUAUGUUUGAAUUUUAUAGACCCCGUUUGGCCAACAAAAGCCAAUUAUUGCAUUUGACGAGUUUUUCACCAAUAGACUUGACUUUUCACUUAUGACUCUAUCUUUUUUGCUUCUGCUACAGUGCUACAAUACCAUCAAUGGUAUGGUACACUACAAUACCAAAAUAGUACAUGAAUAGUGCUAAAACAAUAUGUGAAUAGUAUGCUACAGUAUUUUUGUCAAAUUUUUCAUCUCCUUCGCGUGAUUUGUCUGCCUCUUUUGUCUUGUCUUGAAGAAGUCUCUAGUAGAGUCUUCAACUCCUUUACUUAUUAUGCUUAUGAAUAGGCUUUUUAGUAUUAUUGUCUAAGUCAUUCGAGUGUUCUCCAUACUUCUGCCUUCUUUUGAUUUCCAGAGCUUUAAGAUGUUCGUUACUUAUAUUAUCUAGAGUAUGAACUGGACGGAAUGUUAGGAGGAUUAGGAGUGCUUCUUCUUCUUCUUCUUUUUUAUAUUGUUGCCAGAGCUUUUCGAGGAGCUUUUCUACUUCUUCAAUAGCUUUACUUCCCCAUCAAGUCCUUACUUGGAAUUUUCCCAAUCUAGGAUUUUAUUACAAUAGGAAAUAUUUAGAAGAUUGACUUGCCAAAUUUCAAGAAUACUCAAAAUAAUUAAGAUUAAUACUACGAAAAAUCAUUAAUUUGUAUCUUUAUAACAAAUUUAUCCUAAAGUAAAAAUCCUAAAAUAAUAUACUUUUGACAAAUUUACUUCAAAUUUUCUUAUGAUAAAUUUAUUUUCUAUUAGUUUCCGUUUAAUUUUACUAUUAAAUUGUUGAGUUGAAUGACACGGGACAAUUGAUUAAUGUAACAGUCUGAGAUUUUGCUCUUCGUUCAUACUAAUUAUGUGGUUUUUUGUGAUAUUUAUCCAAUUUAAUGGAUGAUAUAUUUGUCAUAAAUGUAUCAAUUUGGAAUAAAUUUAUCUAUACAAGUUUUUUUUUUUAAUGAUCAUAUGGGAUAAAUUUGUCAUAGAUAUAGUGAUUUUUGAUUUAUGAUGGUUAAAAAAUUAAUUUAUGAUAAAUUCGUGAUAAAUGUAUCAGUUUAGAUUUUUUAUGUAUUAACCCAAAUAAUUAACACCGGGAGUUCACUAAACAGGGGUCGAUUAGGGUAAACCAGAGCUGUCCAUCCUCCUCGUCGUGAUCCUGCAAUGAAGAAGGGGAAGGGCUCGGCAGAUGCAGCAGCGAUGGGCGGAGACGCGGCCUGGGGCAGCAGCUACUACUACGACGUAUACCUGAGUUUCAAAAAACUCGACACUUACCAUCAAAUCACGGACAUCCUUUACCAGAGCUUGGUCGACGCCGGAAUCCGCGUCUUCAGAGAUGACGCAGGACUGGGAGCCGGUGAUGAACUUGCCCGGCGGAUUCUGAAAGCGAUCGAUAGCGCCAAGAUCUACAUUCCNNNNNNNNNNNNNNNNNNNNNNNNNNNNNNNNNNNNNNNNNNNNNNNNNNNNNNNNNNNNNNNNNNNNNNNNNNNNNNNNNNNNNNNNNNNNNNNNNNNNNNNNNNNNNNNNNNNNNNNNNNNNNNNNNNNNNNNNNNNNNNNCCCCUCUGUACCGCGACGCCCUGUCGGAGCUCAGGAAUAAAUACACGCCCGAAGACGUGAAAGCGUGGGAAGGUGCUCUUAGAGAGGUCGGCUUUUUACGUGGAUGGGACACGAGAUCUGGACGGUAAAAAGGCCUAGACUAGACUUUACUGGAGGAGGGUUUGCAACUCAUAGAUCGUUUUCUAGAACAAAGAGAUUACUUCGUUUUUUAUGUUUGCGCUUUAAGUAGAUAUAAUCUUCAAAUAGUUGAUCCGCAGUUCAAUAGGAGUGGUUAUUGCUUUGUCUUUUCUAACUGAAACGAUUCACUUCUGUUGCAGGCUGUCUCACAUGAUCAGAGAAUUUGUUGGAGGAAUCGUGGUCAAGCUGGAGGUAAACCGUGUGCAUGUGAAUAAACUUAUAUGUGGUUCUCAUUUCUAAUUAUCAGUAGUUGAACCCGGAAACUGCUUGAACAUAUCUUCUUUGUAGGGUGUUUAUCUUAAGUAUGAGAUGAAAGACUAUUGACCCUAGUCCUAUUUAUAGGAGUAUGCAUGGCAUGGCAUGGUGUGGCAAACGACCUUACCUUAGAGGUACAGUUAUGGAAGUAAUUAGUCAUCAUUUUUGAUGAUUUUUGUAUCUCUAGAGAGAUUGGGUUAAUAUUGCGAAUGGAGUAUGAUCAUCCAAAGGUUGAUUACAUUCCAUCUAAUGCGAUAUCCUAAUUUGUUGAAUGGUUCAAGUGUUGUAUCAGCAUAGGUGGGAUCAUUUACUUGGAUAUGACUGGUGCAGCUAGGAAAUAAAGGAAAAUUAAUUUCAAUUGUUGCACUUUUUCAUUUCCCGCAGCAGAUUUCUUGUUUACAAUUUAUUUUGCUCUUGUAGGAGGUUUGAAAGAACUAUGAAGCAAAAGAACCAGUGGGAAUUGACAAACAAGUGGAUGACAUGAUGGACUUACUAGAUUUAGAAGUCAGUGAUGUACGAAUAGUUGGAAUCUGGGGGAGGAGUGGGGUCGGCAAGACGACUCUUGCCAAGUUCAUUUUUGAGCAAAUUUCCUUUAGUUCGACAGGUGUAGUUUCCUUGCAGAUAUUGGGGCAACAGCGAAACAACUUGGAGGUGUUCGGCUUUUGCAAAGCAAGUUAAUGUCUGAUAUCCUAAAUCAAGAAUACGAGGUUGAUCAAGUUGCAAAAGGAGUCAAUUUUUUAAAAGGAAUAUUUCGGAAUAUAAAAGUCCUAUUAGUUCUUGAUGAUGUGGAAGUACAGUCGCAUCUCCACGAAAUUGUUGGAGAGAAGCUUGAUUGGUUUGGUUAUGGAUCUAGGAUAAUUGUCACCACUAGUAUCAAAUCUUCAUAUCUCAGGGGUUGGCUCAUGUUUAUGGUAUCGACAUAAUGAAUGAUGAUCAAGCUUUUGAGCUUUUCAGAAAGCACGCACCACAAAGAAAUGUUCCAAUUCCAGAUUUUGAUUUAAUUGCAAAAGGUAUAAUUAAAUUUGUGAAUGGGANNNNNNNNNNNNNNNNNNNNNNNNNNNNNNNNNNNNNNNNNNNNNNNNNNNNNNNNNNNNNNNNNNNNNNNNNNNNNNNNNNNNNNNNNNNNNNNNNNNNAAUAACUUUUUUUUUGUUUCUUGUUUCUGUUCCAAAUGUGUUUCUGGGAACAAAAAAACAAUUUUGGAACAAAAACGCACCCAAACGCGUUUCUGUUCCUUUUUUGUUCCCAGGAACAGAAAAACAAAAAAAGUGUUUAAAAACAAAAAUAAAGAACAAAAACAAACGCAGCCUAAGGAGCUAAAUUUGCCAUUUGGCUUGGAUAUUGAGAAGAUUUUGAUGCUUAUUUAUGAAGAAUUGAGCAAAGAGCAAAGAGAGAUAUUUCUUGAUAUUGCAUGCCUCCCUGUUGAUGCGGAUUGUCGAAUUGCUUCUUUUAUGUGGCAUAAUCCAAUAUUUCCCGUUUGAUGGAGUCGAUGCACUUCGCGUCAUGUCCCUGGUAAAAGCUGCUGUUAAGGGAGUUUGGCCAACAGAUUAUACGAAAAGAGGACCAUCUAGGUCCAGGAAGGCGAGGCAGGUUAUGCAAUUUGGAAUUGGGCUGGAAUACAGAGAAGAUGGAGGUACAGUAUCCUGUCUAAUUCUAUAGCGUAAUGCAUGCCUUACCCUGUUCUCUAGCCUUGGAGUGUUGAGAAAUUGUCCUUUGUCUUUGAUGGCGACUUAUUUAACUCUCUCAUUUUUUCUUGACUUGAUACUUUUUCCAUUAUAGGGGACAGACCACCUCAACUUUGUUGCGGAAGAUUUUAAUAGCAUGCGAAACAUAAGGUUUCUUAUCUUGGAUUGUGCAAAAGUUGUCGGUAGUUUUGCCAAUGUUUUUCCAAAUUUAAAGUGGCUCCAAUGGCAAGGAUGCACCAGAGAUUUUGAAGCUACUAAUUUUCAUGUCAAGAAAUUAGCCAUUCUUGAUCUUUCAUGGAGCAAAGUCACUGAAGACUGGGGAGGCUGGAGAGAAAUCAAGGUAAAUUAAGCUGUGUUUAUUUCAUUGAAUUGUUAUGCUGAUAAAUAAUUUUCACCAUAAAGAUUUUUAUGAGUACUGAUUUAAGAUGGUGGGACUUUCUGGCAUAUGGCAUGUACAUAACUGAAUUUUACUCCUGAAAUAUUUAAGGAAAUAAUGGGUUGCCUGCCAACAACAAUUAGAGGGUUUAUGGACGAUGGUGGUGUUGGAAUCUUAGGUUGAGUGAGUUAAGGGGAAUGAUUUCCUGGUUGUUGAAGGGGUAAGCCAUUCUUGAGAAUUUAAAUAAGCAUCUUCUUUGACUAUGAAAACAUUUUCCAUUGGAAAUCUUCCUAAACUAUGCUAGGAUUAGGAUUGUAAUUUUAGAAAACAUAUUUCAAAAAUUGUUUUUCUUCAAAUCAAACAGAUCCUUAGUGUGACAUCCCAAAUUUCUGAUUCUGUUUUCAAUUAAAUGAGACGGACUUUUCAUCGACGCGCUUAUAGUUCAAUUCUCCGAGCUGAUCACUCACGAGAUAACUAGUCUAUCAGGGGAAGCCGUUAAGGAAUUUAAAUGCAAUAGGCUUGAGAAUCUGACCAUGAACCGACUGCUCGACCGUAUAAAUCUGCAAGGAUCAUUAUGACACUGUCAGAAUCGAACAGAGAUCAGUAAUAGGUCGAUUCGACUGAGAUAUGUAAUUAGAGUGUGGGUGAUUCCACCUGAUUUCAAUAUCCUCGUCGACCGGCACUGAACUGAUUAUUCUAUCGUUUUGGGUACCCUGUGUCCGUAUUUGAAACCUCGAGAUUUUCACGACAAUCAAGAGUCGCUAAUGUGUCGAAGAUUAUGUCGUGGCUUGAAAAUAAUCAACCACGGGUCAAUUGCACUGAAAAUUUCCUAAAAGCUACCCGGUAGAUUAGGACGCGCUCAAAAUCGCGCCAGAUUGAAAUUAACCGUGAUUUUAAAUCCGGAUUCAGAAAUUGAAGGUUCUGGCAUGUCACAAUUCAUUUUAGGAACGUCGACUCAUAUUCAGAAGAUUUUUCUACAAACCGAGAUUUUGGCGGAAAAGCAAAGUAAGGCCGUUUUUGUUCGGGAUUGUCAGAGGGCCGUUUUGAAUCGAAUCUUCAGGAUGCGAGUUGGAUCAUUUGACGGGGAAAUGUCUUGAGAAGGCCGAGGACACAUGGACCGAUUUAUUUGAGCUUCAAUUGAGCUUCAAUUGAUUGGAAUUAAGAGAGAAUUGAAUGGAUUGAAUUAGGGCUGAGCGCGGUUCCCGGGUUACCCGGGAACCGGAACCGAACCGGAGGAGGGUCCGGUUCGGUUCCCGGUUCCAAGGGGGACCGGUUCCGGUUCCGGUUCCGGAACCGGAACCUGUUUCGGAACCGGAACCUGUUUGGGAACCGGAACCGGAACCGGUUACUUAGGGCAGAAAAAGCUCGACCUUGGAUGUUCUAGUGACUUGUAUGUGAUGUUCUAGUUGAAUUUUGGCUUCGGCCUCUAAAUGAAAGUUGUAAAGGACUUCUUGUAGUAUAACCUACUCAAAUUUGGGACAAAAAAAACAAGUAUAAGUGGGUGAAAUCGUUAUUCUUUGGAAAGACUGGAUCUGGAGAUUUUGGGACCGACCCUUGAUGAAUGCAUGGACUGUAAGGCAACCUUUUUGUCGAAAUUUCACUUCGGUUUCUUAACAAAAGUUGUAAAGGACAUCCUGAGGUACAACAUAUAAAAAAUUUAGAGAAAAAAAACAAGAAUAGGUAGGUGAAUCGUGGUCCUUUAGAGAUGGUUAGAUCUGGAAUUACGGUACUACGAACAGGGAUUUUAACCGUCCAUAUUUAAUUAUCUAGGACGAAUUUGACUUCGAUGUUUUCAUGAAGUAUCUACCUUAUGGUCUUGGCUAUCACAUAUUCGAAUUUCAUAAUUUUUGAAGGUCAUUUGGGUAUUUAAUCGGAAAUGUUUCUAAAACUGUGCAAUCUGAUGUGUUCGGAUCUUGUAAGUUGCAAUGCGUGGACUAUAUCAUUUUGUAUGAGGUUCUUUUGGAAAUGUGUUCUGCAUGAAAUAUCUCUCUUCAUGUCUUCCCUACAACAUAUUUAAAUUUCGUAAUUUUUGUAGUUCAUUUGCCUAUUUAACCAAAAAUGUUUCAAAAACUGUGCAAGUAGAGAAUAGGAAAAGUAAAUCAAUUUUAUCUUUUGAUCCAGAAUGAAUUGGACUACGAUUUCUUCAUGAAACUUGUACCUCUAGGUCUUAAAUACAACGUGUCCAAAUUUCAGAAUUUUCUGAGUUCAUUUAAGUGUUUAAUCGAAAUUGUUUUCAAAACUUGUACCUCUAGACAUUCUUGUUCUAGUGGUGUUUUAUUUAUACUUUCUAGUUUGCUAUUUGUUUUGAAAUUUCUAAUUAUAUUCUAUUAUUGUUGUGCAGUGCGAAGUUAAUGUAUCAAGAUAACAUGUCAAUGGGAAGUUAUCGUGUAGUAUACACGUACAUUAUAGUUUUUUUUGGUAACGUGCGCAUACGUUAUAUUUUUUUUUAGUAACGUGCGUGCACGUUAUAAUUUUUUUUUGGUAACAUGCGCAUACGUUAUAUUUUUUUUUGGUAACGUGCGCAUAUGUUAUAGUUUUUUUUUUUGGUAACGUGCGCGUACGUUAUAGUUUUUUUGGGUAACGUGCGCAUAUGUUAUAGUUCAAAUCUGAAAAAAAAAAAAAAAAAAAAAAAGGAACCUGUUGGAACCUGGAACCGACCCUGGAACCUGUGACAGGGUAGGUUCCAGGUUCUCGGUUCCCACGGGUAGGUUCCAGGUUCCGGACGGAACCGAACCGGAACCUGGAACCGCUCACCCCUAGAUUGAAUGGAGGAAUGUCCAAAAUUCGUAGCUCCCAUGGCACACCACAUUUUGCACCUAUUGCCAAGCUUGUAGAGGAAGAUUGGAGGAGAGAGAGUGGCUGAGGUCAUGUGGUGUCAUGGUGGGGGCAAAGCUAAUGAGAAGAUGGCAAGUGUUGAGCUCUAGAGAGCCCAAGGAGACCCCCACUCUUAAGCAGCUUCUUCUCUAAGGCUUUCUCCAUUGUUGUUGAAGGAGAGAAGCUCAGCAAAAACCAGAGGAACCGAGCAGCAUCAGCCCUCCACCGUCGCAUGCCCAUCGGACCCCAUUUCCUCCUCUGUUUUUCCCCUCGUUCCAGUUUCUGCUCCAGCCGACCUUUCGCCAAAGAUCCGAGUAAAAAGUUAACUUCCCAGUUGAAUCAGAGAACGAGCCACCCAUCACCGUGAAGACGACAUCCAGCCCGUACCGGAGCACCUCGCCUCUUGCCGGAACGAUUAUCCGGUCGUCCCGAAAUCCGGUGAGAAUCUGCCGCUCGCCGGACCGCCUGGUUCUGCCCUGCUCCGCCUGUUUCGCGUUUUCUUGCUGUUUCGCCCCUUUCCGACCUUUUCUUUGCCCAUCCCAACCUCCAGCAAGAUCCCCUUGACCCCCGGGAGCCGCUGGUUGCCAACCACCCGCUCGCCGGAGCUCCGAUCAUCCUGUUUUCGCCGUUGAAGUUGCUGGUUUCUUCUCUGCAGUUCAAUCCAGAUCAGAAGCAGAAGACAGCAAGGUUUUGGAGACUUCGUGGCCCAUUUUCAAGCCCUUCCCGGCCUCCGUUGGUGUCGCCGCUUUGGGGUUUAUCGACCGCCUUGGUGUCGUGGUCGCCGUGAACUCACCGGCGCGCAAAACCGGUGAGUUUAUCAUCUAAACCUCGCUUAACAAGUUAAUCAUGCUUAAGGGGUGUUUAGAUUAGUCUAAUUAGGUUUAGGUGGUUAGAUUAGAUUAUUUUAAUGUAAAUUAGCUUAGUUGUAUGAUUAGUUCAAUGGAUGUUUAAUUAGGGCUAAUUGUAUGUUUAAAUUAGUGUAAUCUUGUUUAAGCCCUAAUUAAUUAUUUUAAUUAAAUAAUUAUUUCAAAUUUUAUAAAUAUUAUUUUAUUAAAUUAUAUUAUUAUAAUAUAUUAUUUAAUUAUUUAAUUUUCGGAAUUAUAUUUAAUUAUUUAAUAAUUUCGAAAAUUUUGCCGGGAUGGCCGAUCGUUAGAAUUUCGCACUGAUCGCAGCAGUGCGGUCGGUUUGUGCUAAUUAUAUGUUAAAUUGAGUGGAAAUGAUGAUUAUGGUUAAUUAUUCCUAAGUGAGGAAUUGAAUAAAAUUUGAGAAGUUUUGGUAUUUAACUUGAAAAUACCCGGUGUUAGCUUCUAGCACCGUGAUUGGUUUGUAUGGCCAGUUUGAAUCGAUGGGAUUUAUUGAUUGAUUUAUUUGAGGUUUGGAUUAGUUUAUUAUUGAAUUAUCAGCUUUUGAGAGCUAUUAUAUCAGUUACAGCUUUGGCGAGCUAUUAUAUCAGUUACAGCUUUGGCGAGCUAGUAUAACAGUUACAGCUUUGGUGAGCUAUUAUAUCAGUUACAGCUUUGGUGAGCUAUCUAUCUAUACAGCUUGAGCGAGCUACCGUCUAUAUAUUACAGCUUUGGAGAGCAUUUGUCGUAUUAACGACUGGUUUGAUAGACGGCAUGGAAAGAUAGAUAAUAUGAUUGAUUUGAAUCAUUGUGAAUGAUCGGAUUUGGUUGAAUUAUGAAAUGUACUGAUGUGCAGGAAUGGACUGAGGCGAGGUAAGUCCUUAAUCCUCUUUGUGUGGCUAGAGCACCUUGGGGCUUAUUUUCUUCCUAAUCGAGUUUUAGAGGGUAUGACUCGCUGAGACAUUGUCUCAUCCCGGUUGUGGGAUAAUAUUUCAGGUCCCUAGAUGGCGGAUCCUCCGGAGCUUUUUGGUGGACCAGUGAGGGUCGCUGAGAGGAUUUUUGACUUCGCCGAUCUCAACUGAAGAGCUGGCGAAUGGACCUGUCUAGCUGAUCUUAGGACAGCUUAGUUUUUGAGGACUGAUCUUCUAUAGAUCUUUUGUAAAUAGCCUAGUCCUGUAAAUGAACUGGUUUGAUAUGUAUAAAAAGUAUGUGGUUGGUUUUAAAAAUGUGAUCCUGCUUUUCUAUCCCAAUUGAGUUUUGUCUGGGGAUUAUUUAUCCGCUUCCGCAUGUGUAAUUAAAAAGAAUGGGUCGGCGACGUGUCCUGGGAAGUCGCAUUUCUAUCGACCGCAGUGGGAUAUGCGCGUGCUCGAGGUUCGGGGCGUGACACUUAGACUUUGUUUCCUCUGAAGAUUUGUUCAAUGUAAGAAUUAAUGUUUCGAUGUUAUUUUUUUGCAGAUGCCACAGUUGAAAGUCCUGAAUCUUACUGGUUGUGCUGAUCUAUUGAUAAGUCCUGACUUGUCCUCUUUCCCAGACUUGGAGAUAUUGAUUCUUGAACGAUGUUCUCAACUAGUGAAGUUAGAUCCUUCGAUCCUUCAUCUAAAAUGCUUAACUUCCUUGAAUUUGAGGUUCUGCGAUGAACUCAAUAUGUUGCCAAUUGAACUGGGUCACGUGAAAGCUCUUAAAGAGCUCCUUAUUGAUGGGACUUCGGUACAAGAAAUUCCUGUGUCAAUGGGUUACAUGAAGCAACUUGAGCUUUUUAGUGC